This 61088-nucleotide long non-coding RNA is filed under the name Eucalyptus grandis. RNAcentral's name for it is "long non-coding RNA (EGRA_LNC004743)". Lineage: Eukaryota; Viridiplantae; Streptophyta; Magnoliopsida; Myrtales; Myrtaceae. The record is from RNAcentral.
AUAUAUACCUUCCUAUUUUUCAUAAUGGUAUUUCGCUGUGCAUCCAAAUGAUUGCCCUUCUAUUUGCCAUUUUCUUGCCUUGUUUCUGUUUCUGUGACAAAGGGUGGCAUUACUUAUGUUAGAGGAUAUCCUAUGAAGGUAGGAGGCAUCUAGAACAGAGUUGACGUUUCGGUUGCAUUUGCAAGUUAGAUUCCUGGGUAGAAUCCCAUCAACGUUUGUAUCCAAGUUCUUUCAGUUUUUUUGGUUAUCUUGUGUCAUGAAGUUUGAGCUAUAAUGCAACUGAGUGUCCUCUCACAUUGCCUUAAAGUUCUAUUACUGAGGUUUUGCGGAUUGAAUUCAGUAUCUUGCAUUCUAAUUUGUCUGAUUAUCUUAGUUGGUAUGCUAUCCUAGUAUUGGCACAUACAACUAAGAAAGGUGAAGGACCAUGACUGGCAAAAAGGGCACAUUCUGGUGUUCUUAUAGAUGAUGGGAAUUAUGAGGUCCCAAUUGGGAGUGUGCUCAAAUCUGUAUUUGUUUGUUCUAAGUUCAACAGCCAGGUUAUAAAACAAUGCUUACGAUUACAUGAGCUAUACCAAACACAUUUAUGCCAAUUGACAAGCUGCUUCUCUCUAAUUGCAUUCCAUUUGCAAGCAAAUCUAUGCCUUCCAUCAGAGUAGCAAUGGCAGGAUGCUAGAAAAGGGAUCCUGCAUAAAGUAGCUAGCCUUGCAGCAAAUCGUCAGAUCUUGAAUCCAUGCUUCCCAAACAACUAUUGAUUAAGAUCAAGAGAUGGACCUGAACCAUAGACAAUUUCUUGUUGGAUAUUUAUCAAGCAAAGGGCCAUAAGACGCCACGAUUAAACCAUAAGAAAAAUGUACUCCCCUACUCAAUGUGCACUUCAUUAGCUGCCUGGCUAUUUUGCACAGCUUCAACACUUAAUUCAGUAAUAGAAAGAGUCAAAGCGCAACUUUAAAGGCCAUAAACUUUUCCCUUUUUGUUUAUGAAUUUCAAUCCAAGAUAUUCAGAAGUAAGUAGAUUUCAAGAAAAUGCUCAAAUUAUACAUCAGGAUACAAGCAUUAUUCCAUUCUAGUGAUAUCAUUUAACCCCUAAGCAUACUUGCUUCUUAGGUAGAUACACCUUUUGCUCCAUGUGCAAAAGAGCUUUUCCAAAGAAAAUAUCAUGCUUUGCUCGAUUUGUUUUAUUAGUUCUCUUGUGCAGGAUGAAAAAUAUGGCAACAAUAGUUCACAAUUAUAGAGUAGCUAAUAAGUCGUAAUUGAUUAGCAUGAUAAAUUCACUGAAGUGAAAUUUACUGCUAUAGCUCCACACCAACAAUUAUAGAGUAGCUAGGAAUAGUACUUUCAUCUUUCCUCUCAAGUCAAGAAUUCAGUGGGAACAUGAAUUGCAUCAAUAGAUUAAUAAAAAUUAAAAAAAAAAAGAACCUCAAACUUCAUAAGUCAAGAAUGCAGUGUGAGCACCGUCUAUUCAUUUUUGGUUUGAAAUGAGGGAGGGGUCCAUGCAUGUGUGGUGCAUGGAACGUGGAGCGUCCAUGUAUUGUCAGCUUUAUCAAUCAAACAGCCUCUGUAUCGCUGUGACAUGUGAGCGUUUGAUUAAUGAAGAGGUGGUCCUUGUACGAGCUCUGUCUACUUUUAUCGAAAGAAACAAAGACCAAAAGCAAGGGAAGAACACGGGAAGAUACAUAUGGCCAUUGAAAAAAUCACAUGCUUGCUAGCUGGUAAACGUUUAGCCGACUGAUGAGUUCAGGUCCUCAUGUGAGAUUGAUUUAGUUAUUUUAAAUUAUUAUUUGAAAUAAUAUUCAUUUUAGGUCAUUUUUUGAUGAAAUGACUACUCUAUGCUUUUUUUUUAUAAUAUUCUUGAAUAAUAACUAUCAAGCCUUUCUGUUAAUAAAAAAAAAAUGUAAUGGAAAUGAAUCAAUGGAGUCAAGCCUUGGAUUCCCUCUAGAUUUGAGCAUGUAAAAGGAACAGGGUGGUGGGGGCCACCUGCCAUCAAAAUCAACUUUGAUAAUUUUUCUUUCCAGACUAGAGUUGUGUGGACGGAAGUUAGCAUGGAAGUGAUGAGCAAAAAUUUCCUUUUGCUUUUGACUAAGCCAAAAAGGCAAAGGAAAAAAAAGGUGAGAUAUCAUCAAAUCACAUGAAACAUCCGAUGUUAGUGGACACUUUAUACUUUUAAAGUGUAUCCUCAUUAAAGUUGAAACACGAAAAUCCUCUUUUGCAUUAAAUAAUUUGAAUAUGCAUCCUUCACACUUAGACAAAGUCUUUCUUAUGAACUUUCCAAUGAAAUAUUGAAUUUUUUUGGAAAUGACUCUACUCUAUGCUCUUUUUUAGAACAUUCUCAAAUAAUGAUUAUCAAGCCUUUAUAUUAAUAAUAAAUAAAUAAAUAAAUAAUGUAAUGGAAAUGAACCAAUGGAGUCAAGUUCUUGGGUUCGCUCUAGAUUUGAGCAUGUAGAAGGAACAGGGUGGUGGGGGCCACCUGCCAUCAAAAUCAACUUUGAUAAUUUUUCUUUCCACACCAGAGUUAUAUGGAGGGAAGCUAACACGAAAGUAAUGAGCAAAUAUUUCCUUGCGCUUUUGACUAAGCGAAAAAGACAAAGAAAAAAAUCAUCAAGUCACAUGGAACAUUCAACCUUAUUGGACGCUUUAUACUUUUAAAGUGUACUCUUAAUUAAAGUCCAAACACGAAAAUCCACUUUUGGACUAAAUAAUGAAUAUGUAUCCUUCACAUUUAGACGAAGUCUUUCUUAUGAACUUUUGCAUGAAAGUAUCCGAUUGUUUUGGAAACGACUUACACUAACCUGACUGGUAGUAGGACCUCUAAAAAGUGGAUUCCCAAAAAAAGCAUCCAGCAAAAAAGGCCCCACAUUAACAAAAGAUUCUUUGCUCCAAAGUAAUAGAAAAUAAGCUAUUAGCACACCAAUUAAUCAUUUAAAGGUGUUCUUCUAGAAAAUUUCUCAUUUCUUUGGAUUUACAUAUUAGAACCAUUACAUUAUUUUCAAUUGGAUGAAAAGCUUGAUCUAUUUCCAUUACAGAAGGUUAUAAAAUUGUCUAAUGAUUAUUGCUUUAUGGGAUGUGGGAAAAAGGUGCAAAAGGAUACAUAUGCCUCUCUGCAUUUGGCCCGUGAAUCUAUCAAAUUCCUCCUCUGACACUUGUUAAUCAUACUAUUGUUUAAUUAUAUAUUGUGAUGAAAAUAUAUCAUCAACUCUCUUAAUUUAUCAACAUGUGAUGCUAUGAUAUUUAAAAAUUUCAAAUAAACACAAGCAAUAUUUUGCCCCAAAUAUUGAGUAUGCUCCAUUGUAUUAAGUAUAUACACACAAAUAUAAAUUAAGCAAUUUAUUAAAUAUGUUAUAUAUAUAUAUAUAUAAAUAAAAAGGAGUAACGAUAGAGGAAUGCUAGAACCAUUUUAUAGUGGUCUGGUCCAAAUGGGUGCCCACUCCAUUUCCAGAGACUAAUCAAGAUUUAUGCCUAAUCAACUAUACUUUGCAAUGGAGCCAACAUUCUUCCAUAAACACAGCACACUCUUUUACAAAGAAAUGCUCUCAUAAGAUUGAUCUCUCAAGAAUUUGAUUGCAAAGUGUAUAAAAGAGGGAUAUUGCAAGUACUAAUAGUGUACAAAAACAAAAAAAUUGUUGGCAGAAAAGGUCACCGACCACCCGAUUUUCUAAUAAGGAGUCACUAACACUUUCAUGAAAUAUAUGGUAUGCUUCCAUCAAAUUCUGUGUUAAGAAAAUAAUGUGUAUAAUUUGCUUAAUUAUAUAGAAUGUAAUACAUGAAUCAAAUGAUUAUAUGCAUCAGACCUUCGUGGAAUCAUACAUUCACGUACAUUUGAGUUUAGAUAGAUGGAGUCCCCACCCAUUGAAUGGAAGUGCUGUCCAUUAAUUCAAGUUUUGUCGUUACUCCACUCCUUUUUCUGGUGCGUGUAGAAUGGAGUGUCGGUGUAUUGUCAGCAUUCUCAAUCGAACAGUUCUCAUCCUAUUGUGAUGUGGAAGAAUAUAAUGUGGGACACUGGCCGACAUUACUCAAUUUUGCUGAAGUUUUCUCUAAAUAAGAGCGAGGAAAAGAGCUAUACAAAGAUUGUUAAUGUAGAUAUCUAACAGAGAAGUAUACAAAUGAAAGAAAGGAAAGAAAUGAAACCCAAAAAAAACAAGAAGAAAAAGAAAAAAGAAGAGGAACGAAAGAAAGUGGACUUUCAAUGCACAAUGCUGAACCAUACCUCAUGAAUGUUAAUUGUUAUGUUAAGAUGAGAAGAUUUCUGCUGUUGAAUUUGACUCAGUUGCUAUUGAUUGCGCGUAAGGUUCGACAUUUUACUCACUAUAAAUUAAAAGUGAAAUUUAAAACACUUUAUGCACUAGCAAAUGCACGUCCAACACAUUAAAAGUCAUAUUUAAUGACGUUUUACAAUGUCAAGUUUUUUAUUACAAUAGAAUAUUGCAAAUCUUUGUGAAUCGUCACAAAUAGUAAUAAAAAAUUUCAAACUUGUGGCCUUAAAGCUAUCGAUUACGGUUAACAUUGUAGACCUUUAAAUACUGAAGCAUGGAGCUAAAGUUGACGGUGGGGGCAUUGUUAAAAAAGUAGGUAUAGCUGACACGGUACAUGAGAUGUGACGUUGGAACAACAAUAAGAUAUGAUGACAUCAUGUUUGAUUACAUUGUUUGGCUUUUAAGGCCCAUUUAAUAAUAAUUUUAUUUUCUAGAAUAAUUUUUAAUUUGAAAUGAUUUUUUUAUUCAGUUCUUAUGAAUAAUUUCUAUACAAAAUAACGCAUUUGGUAACUAUACAAAAUUUCUAUUUUUAGAAUAAAAACGUGUUUGAUAAAAUUCUUAAAUUUUUUUGUUUCUUUUACAUUUUUUAUACUUUUAUUAUAUUUUUCUUAUUUUUUUUCAUUUUCUCUUCUUCUUCAUCCUUAGUGGUUGGUGAUUAGCUAGGCGAGGUUCAACAAGCUCACUAGGCCACUGGCAAAGCUUGACCUCGCCCAAGCUAUGCGAGGUCGGCCUCACCCUGGCUUGGUGAGGCCUAGCCUCGUGCCAAUUGGUGAGGCCAAGCCUCAUUGUGGCUGGGCAAGAUCAGCCUAGCUGGGCCACCGCCAAGUCAGCGUUGCCAGGGGUCGGUGACAUCGCCAGCAAAUCUCUCACAAGGUUGUUAGCCCUCGCCAUGGCUGAGGCCGACGACCAGCCAAAAGGAAGAAGAAUAAUAAUAUGAAAGAGAAAGAGAAAAGAGAAGAGAAAAGAAUAAAUUAGACAUGAUUCUAUGAAUUGUUCCCGAGAACAAAAAAUAACUUUUUUAUGCUUCUUGAUUUCGUUCUAAAUCCAUUCCUGAGAACAAAAUAACGGAUUUUUGUUUUCGGGAACAAAAAAUUUAUCAAAUAGAUUUCUAUUUUUUUUUGGUUCCGAGAACAAAAGAACACAAUUAGUUAUUCAUAGGAGUGUUACCAAAUAGGUCCUUAGCAUGUCAGAGGAAGAUGGGAUUGUACCGACGUUUGUGUUAGGUUAGGCAAUACAAUAUUUACCUAGUACCGAUUCCGACGCUUUAAAAGGCUUUCUUUCCCUCAGCCAAUCAAUAAACCAACCAGAAAUCUAGCCUCCAAUCAGGAUUGCACGAAAUUAUAGUCAUAGAAUUUAUCUUGACUUGUCAAAAUCAUUAAUAAUUCAGUUAACAAUAAAUCAAUGUUAAACAAAUAUUCGUAUCGAUCAUACGUCCAACUAACGCGGUAAAUGCGAUUUUCAAUGAAGAAAAGUUUCAUGCGCAUAUCAUUAACUUUUUUAGGCACACACACAUUAUAAUAUUACUGAAAUACUUAUAAUAUUCUGUGUUUUAGGGGCCCUUUUGAAAUUCUUUAAAAGUUACUCAAGGAAAACAACUAUAAUUUUAAAUUGUAAGUAGCAUAUUUGAGUGAGCUUAAUAAUUAGCAAAUGUGAAUUAGGGUCAACAUAGACCUAGUUCUACAUUUUUUUUUUUAAAUAUAGUUCUGAAAACUUCUUUUAGAUGAAUAUAACGUGUACAGUCUUUUGAAGUCCCUUUAGUCAAAAUCACGGAAAAAAGAAUUAUGUGACUUUUACUUCUCCAAAAAAGAGAAAAUAUUGAUGUGAAAUGACACCACUUGAAAUUAUCAAGCUCAUGGUUAGAAUCUUCCGUACAAUAUCAUCUAUAUGCGAUGGACAGAUAUGCCGUGUGAAUGCACUUGGAUCAAUGUACCCAAAGUUUCUGCACGAGAGAAAAAAAUUUCCAAAUCCAAUGUGUGAAUGCAUUGGGAUUAUAACAGCCAAAGUAAGAUCACGAGUGAAAUAAGAGAGGGAAGAAAAUUUCCAAAUCUAGCAUGUGAAUCGCACAUGGAUUGAUGCAGCCACAAUUGGAGCGCUCGUGGAAAACGUAAAUCUUGACAUUCCUGAAGAAGAUCCACCAAAUAAAGACACGGUGAUUGCACUUUUAAUUAGCAAUUUUUGCAAUUUCACAUACUCCUUGUGAAGAUGAUAUGCUAGACACAGUGAUUCAAUAGGUAGUAACCAUUGAAGGGAUCAUAUGAACCACACAUAUCACAUGAGGUAUGAGAAAAAGAGAAUACAAACCGUGUACUAUCUUGUACUCCAUUGAAUAAGUUUUGUUUCAUAAAUUUUUUUUUGACUCAGGACAAAUAGCAAGUAGAACCUCCCAAUGAUUUAUCAGCUCACGACCUCACAUUAGAGGACUGCAUCACUAUUUGCUUCUCUCGGUGUGUUGUCCUUACAACCCACAAUUCCAUUUACAUAAAACUGGUACACUGGUACAAAAGAUCAUGGCCUCAUGCUUGAUUUACCUUUACCUUUUUGGGUAUCCAAGGAGGACAAAUGCUUUUAUCCCAUCGGCUCGGUGCACAAACACCAUAUAAUACACGAAUUUGAUCUCAUGGUGGCAUGUAGCCAAGACAAAAGAAUUAGCAUCUAAGCAUUUGUAGUCUAAUUACAUCCAUAAGGAAAAGUAUUGUAUAGAUUGAUUCUAUGAAUUUAGAUAUGGUGCCAUUUGAUUUUCAGAUAAGCCCAAAAUGAAAAUGAUUGAUACUGUAUAUUUAUGUUCUUUGAUACACUGAAAAAGCCAAGAGUAUCUUACGAGCAGAUGAGUAUAUAAAAGGGAAAGGGCCUCUAGGUAAUAGUCUUUUCCGCCAAAUUACGAGCAGAUGAGUAUAUAAAAAGGGAAAGGGCCUCUCUGGGUAAUGGUAUUUUCCACCAGAAGCAAAUCUGCAGCAUCGGGUAAAGUAAGAUGGGAAAGGCAAUCUUUCAUUUCAUUAUAAUUAUUACGAACCUCGAAGCAGAGCAAAAGUCAAAAAAGAAAAACUUAAUAGUAAAAAAGAAACGUACGAUAACGAUGAGGAACGACCAAAACGGCACUGUUGCUAAACCAAAGGAGUAAGGACCAGCCUGUUAGCUUAGUAAUAGUGCCGUUAGGCAUGCUGGCCUUACUGUGAACUUUUCACCCACCUUCAUUUAUUCUAAACGCGGAAGGUUAUUAUACUUGCUUAUUCAAUAGUAACUGGAAUCAAAAUUUUUAUGUUGUGUCUACCUUCACUACCAUGAGGCUCUAUUAUUUACUGUCUAUCUUUAUAUUCUUAAUAGAGAGGGAAUAUACAGGUGAUAUUACGGAGUCUUUAACCUCUAGACGGAUCUCUCAUCUAUUUUUUUCUUUUGAGCCUUUUAAGGACUUGUUCAAUCCGUGACGUCAACGGUGAGGAACGAUCAAAAUGAAUGUCCCACUAAAUAAGAAAUCCGCAUUUCCCGGGAUUAUAAAAGGGAAUGCGAUGAUGACAAAUGGGAAUCACGUGAAGGAGCAAAUAGAAAUUAGAUUUUUUUCUCUUUGUGAAUCUUUUUCAAAUUAAAAAGUGGGUUAAUACCCUAAAAAACUCCAAACCGGUACACAUAUAACAAAUUUACUCAAAACUAUUUUUUUUACCACCAAAAACCUCAAAUUGGUAUACAUCUAACAAAUUUACCCCAAACCGGAACACUUGUGACAAAUUUGCCCUUUGUUAGUUUUCGUUAAAUUUUAUUGUCAAAUUAUUAAGUUAUAUGACACGUGACAAUUAACUGGUAUACCAAUUUCAGAUUUUAUACUCUGUUUGUCAUAAUUUACAAUUUUUGUGAUUUUUUUCUAGUAUUAAUCCAAUUUUGCAAGACUAUAUUUGUCACAAAUUUACCAGUUUGGGGUUUUUUGUGGUCAAAUAAAUUAGUUUGGGGUAAAUUUGUCAUAAAUGUACCAGUUUAAGGUUUUUUAUGGUCAGUAGGGGUAAAUUUGUCACAGGUGUACCGGUUUCGGGUUUUUCAAGGUCUUCUUCUAGAAAAUUUCUCAUUUCUUUUAAUUUAUACAUUAGAACCAAUUGCAUUAUUUUCUUCUGGAUAAAAAGCUCAAUCUAUUUCCAUUACAAAAGGUCAUAAAAUUGUCUAACGACUAUUGCUUUAUGAAAUGUGGGGAAAAGGGCAAAAGUAUACAUGUGCCUCUUUGCAUUUGGCACAUAAAAUGUAUCAGGUUCCCUCUUUGACACUUUUUGAUCAUUCUAUUGUUUAAUUAUGUAUUUGUGAUGAAAAUGUAUCAUCAACUCUAUUAAUUUAUCAACAUGUGAUGCUGUCAUAUUUAGCUCUAAAAAUUCAAAUAAACAUGAGCAAUAUUUUUGCCCAAAUGUUGAAUAUGCUCCAUAGUAUUAAGUAUUUACGCACAAAUAUAAGUUAAGCAAUUUAUUAAAUACAUUAUAUGUAUAUAAAUAAAAAGGAGUAGUGAUAGAGGAAUGUGGAACCAUUUUAUAGUGGUGCAGUCCAAUUGGGUGCCCACUUAAUUUUUAGAGACUAAUCAACUAUACUUGAAGCCUCGAACAAAGAUUGGUUUACGAUGAAGCCAACAUUCAUUUAUAAGCACGGAACUCUCUUUGACAAAGAAAUGCUCUCAUAAGAUUGAUCUCUCAAGAAUUUGAUUGCAAAGUGUAUAAAUGAGGGAUAUUGCAAGUACUAGUAUUGUACAAAAAAAAAAAAACUGUUGGCAAAAAGAGUCAUCAAUCAUCCGAUUUUCUAGUAAGGAGUCAUUCGCACUUUCAUGAAAUAUACAGUAUGCUUCCAUCAAAUUUUGUGUGAAAAAAACAAUGUGUAUAUUUACCUAAUUAAAUGGAAUGUAAUACAUGAUUGAAAUGAUUAUAUGCAUCGGACCUUGGUGAAAUCAUACAUUCACGUACAUUUGAGUUCAGACAAAUGGAGUCCCCACCCAUUGAAUAAAACAACAUGUGAAUGGAAGUGGUGUCCAUUAAUUCAAGUUUUGUCGUCACUCUGCUACUUUUUUUGGUGCGUGAAGAGUGGAGCGUCGGUGUACUGUUAGCUUUCUCAAUCAGACAGCCUUUGUCUAGUCAUGAUGUGGGAGAAUAUAAUUUGGGACAACGUUACUCAAUUUGUUGGAGUUAUCUAUAAAUAAGACCAAGGACAAGAGCUAAACAGAGAAUGUUAAUGGAGAUGUCUAAUAGAGAAGAAUACAAAUAAAAUAAAGGAAAGAGAUGUAACCCAAAAAAAGAAGAAAAAUGAAACAAUAAAAAAGAAGAGAGAGGAGACUUAUAAUUCUUGAGGAUGGUUGUGAAUGUUUGGUUCAGGUGAAUAUGACGUGUAGGAGACUUUUACUGCAAAUACUUGCAUGGUUUGAUUUACAUUAAUUCAUUAUUGGAGCCUCAAGGAGAUAUGAAAUGGCAAAUGGUGAUGAUGAAUGCUUUGAAGUGUAAGGACCAUCACUGUCCAAGUGGCUUGGUUUCGCACUCGGAGGCAAGUUCUGCUCGAUUUUCAUGAAGAAUAUUUCUUUAAUGAAAUGCUAAAAUUAUAUUUAAGUCCUGCAAAAGAAAUUGACCGUGUCGAUUAUUUUGCAGCAAAAGAAGUGACGCCUGCACUGGGUCUCGUUUUCGGGAAUCUCGCCCAAAAAUAUUUGGUCGAAAUCACACCUUGUUGGCUUUCAAAGUUUUCUUGCUCGAAAUGGCGGGUAAAAGGGAUCAUGCGACUGUUACUUCCCCGGAAAAAUUUUAGUGUGAUUGUUGGACAACACUACUUACAUUUACCAAGCUCGUUGGACCGAAUCUUCCAGAUAUAUAUUUAGACCGUUAACCUCUCUACAUAUUUUUUCAGAAAAAAAAAAUUACAUAGACAAAAAAAGAAAAUAUUUAAAUCUAACGAAUAAAUGCAUUUGAAUAAACGCAGCUUACGUAAGAGCAGGCAAGAAAAACAUAAGUAGACAAAUUAAUGUGAAAAUGCAAAUGACUCCCCCAUACCAUUCUUAAACAAAAGAUGGUUCCUUAAAUAUAUCAAAACCAGUUAAUGGGAAAAAAAAGCUAGCAUGUGGUACGCAUUUUGAAGAUCUAUUUUAUAACUCAUCUUUUGAAGACAUAAUGAGUCUUUUUUGAAUAAGUACGAAAUUUGAAAACUUUCUUAGCGAUUAUACAAAUUCCUGAGAAGCUAAGAUCAAUGAUGUACAAGAUAUGUUGCCAUCCACAGAAGAUGAAAUAUUGGAAUGAAAUAUAUCGGAAUUGGAUUGAGAAUGAGACGGAUAUAUUUAAUUAGCAAUUUUCACAAUUUCCCAUUCUCUCCGGCAAAUUAUCUUAGUAUGCAUGAACUUGUCUUUGCGUGUGAGCUCUUCAGCGAAUUAUCUUCCUUUGUUUUUCACUUCUUACUUCAAAAUGACAAGCACUCCAGCAAUCUUUGAAGUCUUUAACAAUAUUUACGAAUGAAGUUGCCUCUACACUAAAGGAUUGUAGCUCACUCGAUAAGUACGCAUUACUUCACUCUAUGCUCAAAAUAACUCUUUUAAAAUGAUUACACUAGCACUCUCUUAGAGAAUACACUUGAAUUUCACUUUUCUUUUUUUAAUUACUAAAAAGUAAGUGUAAGAAGUAAGAAAAAGUUUUAGUUUUAGAGCGUUUUGAUCCCUCAACCGCCUUCAAGGGUUUGCAUGGUAACACUUCUGUUUCUCCCAAUUUCUGUUCUUUUGUUCCCCAUAACAAAAAAUAACAUAAAUCCGUUUGGUAAAAUUUUUGUUCCUAGGAACAGUUUUGGAACAGAAAAAAAAAAAAGGAGCUUCUUGUUCUCGAGAACAAUUUCUAGAAAUAAGUCAAUUUUCUUUUUUAUUUUUCUUGUGUUUCUCUCUCUUCCCAUAGCCACCUCCAAUCGCUCGGAGCCAUCGGCACCCGCGGCCAACUGCCGGUCGCCCACCAUCGAUCAUCGGCUGCCAAUCGUCAUCACCGACUGCCACCGCACAGCCCAUCGGCCGCUGCCGGCGAUCCGUGAGCAAAAUGAAUAAAUACAAAAAAUAAACUAUUUCGUACCAAACGCAUUUCUAUUCUUUUUCUAUUUCAAGAGUAAAUUUUUUUUGUUAUCACCAAAUACUUUAUUUUACUCAGAAAUUGUUCCCCGGAGUAGAAAUAAAAAAGAAACUGUUCUCCAGCCAAGAAGCGUUACCAUGUGCACCUCAAAUCUCACUUUGACACAUAGAUAGCCCUUGAAGCUUCCUCCACGCAUUAGAGACUUGAAUAGGUAAAUAGCUGUUGAAAAGGGUGAUUUUAGAUCAGCAUCACUAUGGAAAAUGGAAUAACGAGUUUCAAAGCGUUAUUCCAUUUGCAUAAAUAAAAACAUUUGCCUGUCUUCGCGUGAGCACCAAAUUUCGGACCAAACCUGUGGCCUCCGAAUCGACGACACUAGAAUUCUUCUCUCUCUCUCUCUCUCUCUCUCUCUCUCUCUCUCUCUCUCUUCCAAAGCACUUUGGCGAUGUCUCUGGAACUGUGGGAGACCCUGAAAGAAUCCAUCGUCGCCUUCAAGGGCCUGUGCCCGGCGACUUUCUUCACCGUCCUUGCCCUUGGGCUCAUCGUCUACUAUGUCGUGUCUGGCCUCUUUGGGUCGUUAUCCGACCGCCACCAGAGGCCGAGGAACUACCAGGAGCAGAUGCAGCCUCUUCCUCCUCCUGUUCAGCUUGUCGAGACCUACGAGGACGAGCUCAAGCAGUACGACGGCAGCGACCCCAAGAAGUCUCUCUUGAUGGCCAACAGGGGGCGGAUCUACGAUGUCUCUCAGCGCAGGUAUGCUGCGACCUUCUUCAUUGUAUCGGAUAAAAUUGUUAUGCUCAUUGCGCGAUUUUGAUUGUUUUCUGUGGCAGUCGUAGGUUAUGGAUCGGAUCGCCACUCUCUUCUUAGGCUAAUCCUACAUGAAUUUGUUGAUUCCAAUAUACUGUCUAUUCACGUUCGAAGUUAAUGCCGCCGUGAAAUUGGCAUAAGUGAAGCUUAAAAGAAAUGGUUGAGAAUUAUUCGUCCACACGCGGUCAAAUUAAUGAAACAAAAUACGCAUUUUUGUGGGAUCUAAAAGCCUGGUUAAUAAAAUGGGAGUAGAGUUUGCUUCAAUGAAUGUCGCUUGACGACUGGCUCAGACGUUACUCAAUUUGCUGAAGUUAUCUGUAAAUAAGACCAAGAAAAAUUGCUAAACAAGAAUGUUGAUGAAGAUACCGGAUAGAGAAGAAUACGUAUAAAAGAAAGGAAAGAGAUGUAACAACCCCGCCCCCCCCCCCCCCCCCCCCCCCCCCCCCCACCCAAGCUUUUAAGGUACAAUGUUGCGCCAUAAGCCAUCACAUAUAAACGACAGUUGUUAUAUCGAGAUGAGAAGAUUUCGGCCGAGAUCCAUCGUUCCAUCCGCUGGAAAAUGGAAGUGAAAUUUACAAUUAUUUAAACACUAGCAAAUGGACGUUCACCGCAGUAAAAGUCACAUAUAGUGAAAUAUUACGACGUCAGUUCUUGGUUAUGACCGUGUGAAAAGUCAUAGCCCACAUUCAUAUUGUCUCUAAUUUUACUUCCUUGUCUAAUGAUGGAACGACUCCCAUGCUUUAGCAGUUGAAGUUUCUAUUUGCAACCUAGACUUUAAAUUUUAUGUCCUCACUAAUUUUGGAGCUCGGACCUGAUUAUUAUUAUUUUUUUAAAGUCAUAACUUCCAACAUGUAUCCGAAUAUGCAUUUUUUGUUUAAUUUAAUAUAUUUGUUGGGAAUAAGUAAUAUAUGGCCUAUCUUGUAGUUAGACUUCAAGACACGGGGUAUAAGGGUUUUAUUAUACAUAGUUGGGGUGUAAAGUUCAGUCCAAAUUAAAAAUCCAAGUUGCCUUUGCAAUCAUCUCUAAAGUGUAACACAUAGUUCAAUACCAUUCAUGGACCACUUUCACUUCGCAUUCAACAAGCCACCACAGAUCUCAUAGCACCUUUUUCAUUUUAUAAUAACAAGAAAUUAAUUGAUUAGUAUCCUAGUAUCCGCUCAACUAAUCUAGAAGUGCAUCAAUCGUCACUCACAAAUUUACCAUAUACCACAGUGAAGUAUCUUUUUAAUGUGAUCAAACUUCAUCAUCCAUAUAAGAAAAAGAAAAAUGAAGGACUGAAAAGAAUAGAAACCAUUUCCCUUGAAGCCAAAUAAAUCAACCAGAAAAUUGGCCUUUAAUUAGGACAGUAUGAUACUAUGGUCAUAGAAAUUUACCCUAUGUUCAAUAGUCAAAUUUAUUAAAAAUUCAAUUUUGCUAUAAAUUCAACAUUAACCAAAGGUAUGUGGCGAAGACACAUCUAACUAAUGUGAUAAAUGUGAUCUUCCAUGAAGAAAAGUUUAAUGUGCAUAUUGUCAACACUUCAUGUGCGUGAAGCGCACUCCUAUGCUAAAGUGUCGGCUCAUCCUUGAGCACUUUUAUUAAAAUAUUCUUUGUUGACCCACGUCAAAAGGAGGUCAUGCACCCGGGAGUCAACAUAUAAGGAGAAGAUUAAAUGGCGAACAAACUACCACUCGCAAACUACCAAAUCUUAGGCAACUUAUUGCUUCUUGUUAACCAUUUUUGUUUCCUGAUUCUAAUGGCUUCUUCUCCUUCUUCCAAGCAUAGAAGGAGCUAUGAUGUCUUUCUGAGUUUUAGAGGCAUAGACGUCCGCAACCAUUUCCUUGGUCAUCUCUACACAGCUCUUGUUCAAAGUGGAAUAAACACUUACAUGGACAGUGAAGAUCUAAAGAAGGGAGAGCAAAUAUCACCCGCACUCAUGGAAGCAGUCGAGGAAUCGCAAAUUGCGAUCAUUGUUUUCUCCAAGGACUAUACCUCAUCACCAUGGUGUUUGGAGGAGGUGGCGAAAAUCAUGGAGUGCAAGGAGCAAAGAGGCCUCAUGGUCUUUCCGGUGUUUUACAAAGUGGAACCUAGAGAAGUGAGAGGGCAGAGACAAGGUUAUGCAGAAACUAUGGCCAAACAUGAGGUUAAGUUUGGGGAGGAUUUAGAGAAAGUAAAGCGAUGGAAGAAAGCUCUUCUUGAUGCUGGGAGCUUGUCUGGAUGGCAUUUUAUGGACAGGUACGUGAAAACACUUCUACUGCUUCAAAUAGUGUAAUUCUUUUGAUAUUUGAUCUUCUUUAAGGUUUGGGAUCCUCGGAAGUUCGGCGUAAUCUAUCCUGGCUCUCUCUCUAAUUUGCCUCGUCUCUCUCUCUCUCUCUCUCGCAUUAGUCACAGCACAGAAAACACUUGCACAGAACACGAAACAGAGUACCAUGGACGAGCCGUUAGUCCUGUCCGACCCUCUGCCGAUUCUCGACACGCCGCCGUCCGAUUGCUCACGUCUCAACGCCACCCCAGCCGCAUCACCUCAGCUCGUCUCUGUGUCUCUGUGUCUAGGGGCUUUAAGGCUACGAAUCUAGGCUCGUGACCCCGGAUCCGGGGCUUCAAGCCCGGAUCAGCGGUCGCUAGCCUCGGGCAGUGGUCGCCUGGGACUCUCCUAUCUUCCGUGACAGAGGGACAAGAACACGGAAAGAGGGCGCACCAACUGCGCUAGGACAGGCGAGGGUGAUGGGUACAUCACGGUGGCAGGGACAUGGCAGCGGGGGGGAACAGAUGAGGGCGGCCACGGGGCAGUGGCAAAUGCGGAGGGGAGGGGAGAGAGAGGGGUGGGGGAAAUUUGGGUUUGAGCUUUGAGCCUAGGCAUUUUCUUAUUUUUUAAGUAAAAUUUAACAAAACAAAAUUCUAGAAAAUAUAUUCAGAAGACUUGAAACUUUGAAUUCACAAAUUGAGGAGAAAACAAAUGGAGAUAUUAAUUAGAAGAAAAGUUGCACAAUAUUCAAAUAUAAUAAGUUCAUUCGAUAUCGAAAAUUGUCAUAAUACAUCAAGACCACAUGUACUAAUCGAUAUCCUAUGUCUACUAUAUAUAGUUUAAGCCGGGUUUAAGAGAAAGUUUCCUUAUAUGCCCGCCCACGUGGGAGGUAACAUUGCUAUGUUGGUUGUGCCAUAUGACCCAUAUUUGGCCAAUUUUCAUUUUAGUGAUUCGUCCUUUAUCUUGAAAUGCAUUUUUAACAAAUAUAUGUUUGUUCACAAAAAACCAUGAUAGUAAAGUUAUCAACUUAAUUUGAAACUUUAAAUCAUAAUAAUUUGAAAUUAAAAAAAAUAACAUAAAAUAAAAAUAUCAUGAAAUAAACCUUUUAACUAGCAUAUAUUAUUAAAUGUAAUUCAUGACCAAACAAAUAUCCAUUUGAUUUAAAGAAUGAGAAUUAUAAGUCAUUAAAUUAAUGACACAAAUAAUGCAAGUUAUUGCCAUUAUAAACCAUGGUAUCUAUAUAUAAUUACAUAAAUAAUACGUCAAAACCAUUGAUAAGCUACUCCUAAUUGAAAAUAUAGAUCAUUCAUAACAUGAUCUAACUUCAUAUGCUAUAUUAGCUUACACUUGGCAAUCUGGAUUAGGCUAUCACUCAUGAAAGACUCAUGCGAUUGGCACCCUCAUGCUUUUACCAAUUUUAAGGAUUCUGCAGUUCUAGAUGACGGACUAUGUCCUCUUAGGAAAAAGAUUAACUUAAAAAUCUAUAGAAGUAUGUUUUCAUGGACUUCGGCUUUCCAAUUCGGGCAGGAAGUUAGUAGACGAAGCUUGCGCUCUCGUGUUCCACCCCCCUUGCCGUUAGUUGGAGGGUCUUUUGUACUGCUGGCAUGCCUCUGCUUCUCGCUGAGGUUUUGAGCCAUCACUCACGCGGACCCAGACCAAAAUCACUUAGGGCGCGAAUAAUAACCAUUUUUGCUAGAAAUUGAUUUAUGAAAGAGAAAUAGAUUUUUCUAUUUCUAUUUCUAGAUGAGUUUUUAAGCAAAAAUACUGGUUUGAUAACAACACAAAAUUUAUACUCUAAAAAUAGAAAUUUGUUUGAUAACGAUAUAAAAUUUCUUCCUUUCGGACGGCUGCAAAUUUUUUUUUACCUUUCGGACGGUGGGCCAGUGGACGGCAGCAACGGCCGAUGACCGGUGAAUGGCAAAUGGCGGACGGCCAGUGGACGGCGGAUGGCAACCGGUGGCCGGCGGCGGACGGCGAACGGUGGUGACCGGCGGACGGCGGACGGUGAUGGUUGACGAUCGGCAAACAGUGGUCGGCGGCGAUGGAUGGACGAUCGAUUCAUAGCAGGAACAAACGAUAAGAAGAAUUUUUAUUUCUCAUUUUUGUUCCAAAAAUAGAAAAUAGAAAAUUUUUACUUCUGAUUUUUAUUCCAAACCUAUUUCUGGAACAAAAAUUUAUUUAAAAAAAAUGAAUUAAUUUUAUUAAAUGGAAUUCUAUUCCAGAAACAAGUCUGGAAUAGAAAAAUUAUUUAUGGAAUAGAAAUUGUAAUUUGUUAUGCACUUCUUAGAGAGUAAGAAUUGUAGAGAGCUUUCCCUACUGAUUUCGCCUCCCCUUUCAACUGAAGAGGGAUCAGCUAUAUACAUACAAAAGCUGUUGCCUGUGGGAUGUUGCCAGCUCACUUCAACAUUUACAAGCGGACAAGAACAAAAAUGAGCUGCCUACGCCUGUACAUAUAAGACAUUAUACCUCGUCUAACCCAUGAAGAUUGUCCUUUCUAAUCCAUGCAUUUUCUCUUCUUCUGAGAAAAUUAGUUUUUCACGUCUUGUCCUGCUGAGUGCUGACGUAGUAAUCACUCCAUCUGAAAGCUGGCCCUGGGACUGGGCAUGAUUAUCUCGUUCCCUUUCCUCUUAAAGUCGUUGAUCUUGGGUUUGGGAGAUCUUCCAGACUUCAAAAAAAUCAGCCCGGAAACAUAAGCUGUGUUCUCUAAGCCAGAAACUUAGCGGGCAGAUCGAUUACUUUCUCUCAUUUUCUCUCUUGGACUUCUUUUUAUUUAAAGCUCAACCCUUGAGAAUGAUGAAAAUUCGUCCAUCACCACGCGGAUAAUACUUUUGUUGGUUGCGUAUUGCAUGCUCUAGGACAGCAUUAAAGAAUUCGGUUUCAGUGGCUUUAGUAAUUGAUGUAAAGCACACUUUGUCAUUAUUUUUUAUAUGCUGAAUCACAUCUUUUCUUUCCAACCAAAAAAAAUAAUCGGAUCUUUCUUCUCUCUCUCUUUUUUUUUUUAUUUGAUGAAACUUGAUCAUAUCUAAACUACCAAAUUAAUGUAUCAAGUACUUUUCUUGAUUUUGUCAGAGAUGAAGCAACGCUUAUAAAGGAAAUUGUGAAGGAGAUCGCUAAGCAGCUGAAACCCUCACCCUUACAUGUUGCGAAGCAUCCAGUUGGAAUUCAUCGCCAAGUGGAAGAGCUGGAACCAAUGUUAAAUCUUGAGUCUGGUGAGGUUCUCAUGAUAGGAUUAUGGGGACAAGGAGGCAUAGGGAAGACAACAAUAGCAAAAGCUCUUUACAAUGCUAACUUUAGACAAUUUGAAGGUGCAUGUUUCUUGGCAAAUGUUCGAGAAGCUUCAAAAGAUUCCAAGGAUUUGCGUCCUUUGCAAAAAAAAUUGUUGGAGGUAUUAUUGGGAAAAGAAUUAUCAGUGAUUAGUGUUGAUGAAGGUAUUAGGUUAAUUCAAGACAGACUUUGCAGCAAAAAAGUUCUCCUUAUUCUCGAUGAUGUUGAUGAUGUAAAACAGUUAAAUGCUUUAGCCGGAGAAUGUGAUUGGUUUGGUAGAGGAAGUAGAAUCAUCAUUACUACUAGAGAUAAUCAUUUGCUAACUUCCCACAGGAUAGAUAAAGAUCAUAUCUAUGCAGUUGAGCCUCUAAACAAUUGUGAAGCUCUUGAACUUUUUAAUAAGCAUGCUUUUCUGAGAGACAACAAAACAAUAAUAAGAAGGGAUCUUGUAUUUGGUGCUUUGAAUUAUGCUAAUGGACUUCCUUUAGCACUUGAGAUGUUGGGCUCUUUCUUAUUUGGUAGAGAUGAACCAGAGUGGGAAAGUGCAUUAAAAAAACUUGCCAAAAGUCCUCACAAAACCAUCAAUGAUGUUCUUAGGCUAAGUUAUGAUGGACUAGAUGACGAAGAAAAGGAGAUCUUCCUUGAUAUUGCAUGUUUCUUCAAGGGGGAAUAUAAACAGGACAUUGUGAAGGUUCUUGACUGUUGUGACUUUUCCACAACUAUUGGAGUAAACAUUCUUGUAGAGAAGUCUUUGAUAUAUGAAGAGGAGGGGAACCUACAAAUGCAUGACUUAAUUCAGUUGAUGGGCAUGGAUAUUGUUAAACAAGAAUGUCGUGAUGAUCCCGGAAGACGUAGUAGGUUAUGGCUUUAUGAUGAUGUUCAUGAUGUUCUGUCAAAGGAUAUGGUAAGAUUUGUUGGUUUAGAUACUGAUUUUACUCUUUUAUCCUAUGAUUUUUAAAAAAAAUUAAUUGCAAUGCAAUUUUUAUAAAUGCAGGGGACGAAUGCAAUAAAAGCCAUAGUUUUGCGUUUACCCUGGACAAAAUCAUUAUACAUAGGCCCAAGUGCUUUUAGAAACAUGACAGGGUUGAGGGUACUCAUCAUGAUUAAUGUGCACAACUCUUUCCAAGGUCCUAUGUGUCUUCCUAAUGAAUUGAGAUAUUUUGAAUGGCCUCAAUGUCCUCCUUGGAUUCCAGAAUUUUCCUCAGGUACAAAGAAGUUAGUUGGACUUGAUCUGAGUCGAAGCAACAUCCAAGAUCAAGUCCAACUAACGAAAUUUAAGGUGAGUAUUUAAAUGCAUAGUCUUUAUUUCCUUAUAUUUUAUAUAUCCAUUUUUAUAUGCAUAUGAAUAUGAAUAUGCAAAUGUAUUAUUGAAAACUUUGAAUGCAACAAUUAAUAACUCUGACGGUGCUUGUUAAUGUGCUUAAGAAACAUCUACAUCUAUUAAAUUGUACACAUUUGAUUAAAGCCUUAUACACAGGAUCUCGAUCUACUCCAUGAACCAACAUAAGUGGAAUCUUUCUGUUAUAGGGGAGUAUUAAACACUUCCCUUAUGCAAAUCUUGAUUUUGCUUCGAACCAAAAUUUUCAAGAAAAAAAAGUCCAAACUAUAUUUUCAAGAUAUUGAGUAUUGAAAAUUAUAAGAACAAUGAACUUAAUGAAUCGGUAACUUUUGAGUACCGAAAAUUGGGGCAAAAAGUAAUUUGUGAUAUAAUUUAAAGAAUGAAUGAUGAUUGUGCUUGAAUUUUCAAUAUACAUCAAGGAAGGAUUUAAUUUUAUGUUUUUGAAAGGAUAGAUUUUGAAAAUGUUAUUAAAGGUUCUACCCCAUACAGUAGAGACGAGCUGACUACGCUCUUUUGGAAAUUGCGCUUGUAAGAGAGAGAUUUUUCUUGCAUAUUUGCUUGACCAUUGAAGUGGGUGCACGCUAAAUGCUUUCGACUGAACCUCCCAUUGUCUCCUCUCCUAUUGCAUGGAGCGGAUAAUGAAAAGAAACAUAGAAAAUGUGUAGUAAGGGAUCUGUAUCGGAAGCUAGUCUUUACAUAGGUAGGUACAAGCUUGAUAAUUCUAUAACAGUGGCCGAAAAGUCCUGUCUUUUUUCGGUCGGACUAACCUAAUCAGCCAUUGCUAACUAAUAUUUCUCAAGGCCAACCUCAUGAAGCUCCUGGUCUUCAUGAUACAAAGAUAGAUUAAAUUACAUACUCUGCGCAAAGCGCACUUUUGUAACCGUCUGAUUUCCUUAGCUCUUUCUUCAGAAUAUCCACUAAAUUGGCACUUAGUGGGCAGUGGCGUAAGAUCCAAAGAACUUCAAAGAUGUUUUCGGUACACAACUUCAAAUUGCUAUUUUCCAGUAGUUUGACUCACCGAAUUAUCAUUAGCAAAUUCACCUUGAAACAAUAACAACUCUCAUUGUUUAAAAUGUUUUCCAAUAAAACUACUUAAUAAAUUGCCCAAAAUUCUAUUAACAACCUCAGCUUGUCUAUCGGUUUGAGGAUGGCUAGCAGAAUUGAACUAAGGUGGAGUCCCCUCUUUUCACCAUAAGAAAUGCCAAAAGUGACAUACAAAUUUCACAUCACUAUUGGAAGGGGGAUGUUUUUGGAAUAUUAUCUAGGCGCACAAUUCACUAAUAUGAAACUCAAUAACAUGUAAACCAUCGAGGCUCCAUGACGAUCAUUUUCAAAUUUUUUCCCAUUUAAAAACUGUCCGGUAAUCCCCUUCCAACUAAUAGCAACAUUUCCAUUCACAAUGCGCAUGUGCGAGGGAAAGUGUUGAUUAGGUUUGUCUCAAUUUAUGAAGUUUAAUUGACAUUCUUGACUUGCCCUAUAUAAACACUUACCACCUCUAUCUUUUGAGAGAUACACCUUCAAAUACAAUUUCAGAUAUGACAUGUCAAAUCUCAUUCCUUAGACUCCCUUUCAUUUAAUAUUAUUUUCUUCUUUGGAAUGAUGUGCUAUAAUUUUAGAAAAUUCAUUGAAAAUUUGUUGUAUCAAAAAUAUCCAAAUCAUUAUGGAAUGACAACUCAUUGAUAAAGGCGUCUCAAGAAUAAAGUAGUUAAAGCUUAAUCAAAAGAAGGCGCAAAAAGGCUUACCAUGUUGGACAUGCACCAUAGAGGUUUAAUAAAUCACACAUGAAAUCCACCGAUUGAGAUGUCAAAGUCUAUCGAUGCAUCUACAUUUUUUUUAUGUAUACAAAUGCAAGGUAUAUAUGUGGUGGUUGUGUUUAUUAUGAUAUAGUAAACUUUGAGCUCUUACACUACAACAACAUAUAUCUAGCUCAAAGCAAAAAACUAUGCAAGACGGUUCGGACUCUAUUAUUUUUCAUAUUUUAGUUAUGUUUAUGACCAAUUAGGCAUACACAAUAUGUCUUCUUUUUUAAAAAACGAUCAACCAAUUUCCACUUCUUAAUAAGUGAUGAAUAGAAGAGAUUCCUGACCUUUCACUGCCUUUGUGGGAUUUGUAGGCAGGUGGUUGUGAUCUCUACAUAAGAUUCCAAAUGUAACUUAAAUGCAUGUGAUGAAUCAGUUGGCAAAGGAAUGAUUUUGGCUCAUGUGCUCCCACUUGAGGUUACACAAUCUUUCUCUCUAAAUCACAAGUAUUGUUUCUGAGUGUAUACGUAAUGGAAGUGGCCACGCCAUUCUAGCGCAUAGUGAAAUUACGAGCGUUGGUGAAUUUACAAGGAUUACUUACUGGACUCAUAUUCAUAAAGUGAGAGGGUGUGCUCUAUGUACACCAUAUGAUCUAGUGAAUUUUGAUAACAUAUGGCUUGGAUUAUGAUCAAGUGAUUUUUAUUUCAAAAUCAUAGCCAAAUUUUGAAAUGAAUGUGUAUCUCAUUUUUUUCUUUGAUCAUUUUGGAAUGUCUAUGCAAGUUGGUUUAUUGUUCUUGCAGGACUUUGAAAAAUUGAAGUUCAUUAGCUUUGGUAAAUGCUGGUCACUAGUUUAUAUGCCGGAUGUCUCUUGUAUUCCAAAUCUCGAGGAAUUGAAUCUCUCUAGGUGCAAAAACUUGAAGCAUGUCCACAAUUCAGUUGCAAAUCACUGUAAGUUACGGAAGUUGAAUUUAGCAUAUUGCUUUAAAUUGCAAAGAUUCCCUGAUAUUCUGAAUGAGAAUGAAAGCUUGCGAGAAGUUCUUCUAGGGUGGACUUCAAUUGAAGAACUUCCUACAUCAAUAGGAAAUCUUGUCUCUCUCGAGGACAUUAGUUUAUUUUAUUGCAAGAAAUUGGUAAUCCUUCCGUCUAGCAUUUACAAGUUGCAAAAUCUUAAAGUCCUGCAACUUUGUGGUUGCUCACAACUACAAGAGAUCCCCAAGAUUCCAAGGAAAUUGAGAAGACUAAAGGCAAAUAAUUGCAAAUCUCUAACUAGAAUUCUCUCCAACAUAUGUGACACUGGGGACUUUGACUUGGAAGAAUUGGAGGCUUCGAAUUGCCAACAACUACAAGAGAUCCCCAAGAUUCCGAGGAAAUUGAGAAGAUUAAAGGCAAAUAAUUGCAAAUCUCUAGCUAGAAUUCCCUCCAACAUAUGUGACAUUGGGGACGUUGACUUAUAUUCAAGUUGGGAUCAGGAGCUAGUACGUAAUGGGUUCCCCGUGAAUGAUUUGUUCAUGCCUGAGGUUACUCUCUCUCUCUCUCUCUCUCUCUCUCUCUCCCUCCCUCCCUCCCUCCCUCCCUCCUUCUCGAUUAAUCGCAUUAAUAUCGAGUAGGGUACAUUGUGGCUUGCAUUGGGUGUUCGUGCAUUGCAAAAGGCUAAAACUGUCAGAAUGGUGAGCUAAUUGAAAAAAAGAAAAAGAAAAAGAAAGAGCACAAACAUAUAGAAAGUGAUUGUGUUGACAUAUAAUGGAGGUUGCUGUAAGACAAUGCAAAAGAUAUUCUCUUUAUUUAUAGAACUCUAGUUCGCUGUUAAAUUAUAAGGACCGCCCAAUGAAAAACUUCAAUAAUACAUGUUCAUCCGGUUACAAAAUAUUCAACAAUACAUGUCAUGUUUCCACCAAUUAAGUACAAAAAAAUCUUUGUAUUGCUAUUGCUAACUAUAUAUAAAACUCUAGGAUUGCCACUUAACUCAUUCAUACUUCUUUUAGGUGCCAAUUUUUUUUUUUUAUAAAAAAGAACUAUCUAACAGUCUACAUCUAUGACAGAAUUUUCAUUGCCAACCAAAUCAUCGAGUUGUUCUACCUGGAGGAGAGAUGCCAAAGUGGUUCCUGCCCAAUAAAGAGGGUUGUAUAUCUUUCGUGGCUUCAAAGGACUUAUAUGAAAAGAUCCUAGGAGUAGCUUUUUGUGUUGUAUAUCAACAAGAAGCAAAGUUGUCUGGGAGUACUGAAUUUGAGGUUAUCGUAUCUGUUAAUUGCAAAGCCGCAAUACAUAGCAGGUACUUCAAGUUCUCUGAUUUGGAUCAUGUGUGGCUGGAGUAUAUGGAAUUAAAGGAUCUUUGGACAGUAGACCAUUUUGGUCCAAAUGGCCUGACUCAUUUCCGCAUUAGCAUUAGAGUAUGCAAUUAUCACGAACUACUUGUGAAGAAGUGUGGAUUCCGACUAAUAUGCAAGCCACUAGAGAAUGAUUUAGAGGUUUUGCUUCAAGGCAAUCAAUUGCUAGAUCCAGCUUUAUUUUACGAGGUUUCGCAUGAAGAUAAUCCAAUGAGCACAAAGGAAAAAGGAUUGAACAUAGUUGAUUCGUCAAUCGAGGUAUCUCUCUCUCUCUCUCCCCCCCCCCCUCCCACCCCUCUCCCAAUGUGUGCGUGUGAAUAUCCGUGUGUAUAUGCAUGUGUUGAUACAGUGUACAUUGGGUGUAUGUAAUGCAAAAUUGUAAAUUCUAGACAAACAAACAAAUUUAAUAUAAAGCGAUUCUGCACAAGUAUAAAGCUUAACAAAAUCUCAACAUCAUGCAAUGAUGAAAACCCGAUGUUCGUAAUUCCUGUAUUGAAAAAUAUGGUUGAAAUCUUAGAAAAUCUAACGAACAAAAGGACACAUGGUUCUUGAUGUUAUGGUUGAUCAUAACAACUGACACCAAUAAUUGUUCUAGAUCAACUCUAUGGACUAAGAUAAAAUUGCACAACUAUAAUAAUUCAAUAAUUCGACAUAAGACCUUUUUCACUCUUAGGUGUUUGUUGCUAUUAUAAUAGGAGACCGUCGUAUUACAUGCCUGGCUAGCCACAUGCGGAUUACUUGGAUAGUGUGAUUUAAUUUUAUUAAUAGAGAGUAUUGCAUUUGAGAUUCUCCUUUUAUAUAAAGUUAGAGCAAACAUAAAAGGGGUAAGUGGUCUGAUGAGGCUAGUUUGUGGAGAGGGCAAACAUUAGAUUUUCCUUUCCAAUUUUCUGUUAGUUUGAGUGCAAGUAGAAUUUUUUUUUUAAUUUAUUUUAAUUAUGUUAAAUUUGUUGCACAUAAGUAGGAGUUCAAUUAGGACACUUUGUACAGAAGAAUCAGUGAUCUCCAAAGUGAACUCGUAACAAUGAACAUUAGACAAUGGGGUCUGACGAGGACGAUUACUUUCUUGGAUAUGCUGUUCUAUUUUCCAUCAAUUUUUCACUUCCUAUAUAUUACACUUGUAUUGCAUGAGCUGCGUUUAGGGUGAUUCAAUCUAACAUUAGGGGUGGGUAGCACUUGCAAGGGAAUGAUUUCCAACAUAAGCAACGAUCAAUAUGUCUAAUUAUUAUAGAACUCUUGCUUUAGUUAAAUUACUAGUAAUAUGCACAAAUCAAACUCUUUUUCUUGAACUAAUUACAAACUUGGAUACUUCUAAUAAUUUACACAUAUAACAGAGGCAUCGCUAUUCUAGCCUUUGGUGUCAUUAUGGGAAUGUUAGCCCCGGAAGAGAGAUGCCAAAUGGGUUCGUCCGUGUUGAAGGCAGUACUAUAUCUUUCAAGGCUUCGCAAGACUUGUACAACAACUUCGUAGGAUUUUUUCUCUGUGUUGUCUUUGAUGUAGAAGAUGGAGAAAAGGAAGUAUCUUUCAACAUCGUACCACGUGUCAACGGCCAAAAGCGGAAUGAGGUAUCGGGAACUCUCGGUUCAUUUGAUACGGAUCAUGUGUGGUUUCAAUUUUUCAGAACAAAUGCACUGUGGGGAUUAUUGGAGGGAGCAGUCGACUUUGGUCAAUUUGACGAGAGUUAUCCGAUAUUUAGCCUUAAUAUUAGAGUAACGGGUGCAACCGUUAAAAAGUUGGGAUAUGUGUUGCAAUCCAAUCCUCUAGAGGAUGCUUUAAAGGUUGAGAUUGAAAAGAAUUGCUCCAUGAAUCCGGCUUCACUCUUUGAGCAUAGGGAUGAUCCACAAUAUGCGUGGAGAAGAUGGCAGAUGGAAGGAUUUGUCCCGGAUUUUUCACUCCUUGAGGUCAUGCCUGAGGUUAGACUCUCUCUCUCUCUCUCUCUCUCUCUCUCUCUCUCUAUGGCAUUGAUAUGGAGUAGGGUACAUUAUGGCUUGCAUUAGGUGUUUGUUCAUUGCAAAAGGCUAAAAAUCCCGGAAUGGUGAGCUAAUUAAAAAAAAGAAAAAGGAAACAUAUAAAAAGUGAUUGUGCAGACAUACAGUGGAGGUUGAUGUAAGACAAUGCAAAGGAUAUUCUCUUUAUUUAUAGAACUCUAGUUUGCUGUUAAAUUACAAGGACCUCCCAAUAAAAAACUUCAAUAACACAUGUUCAUCCGGUUACAAAAUAUUCAACAAUACAUGUCAUGUUUCCACCAAUUAAGUACCAAAAAAAAAAAACUUUGUAUUUCUAUUGCUAACUAUAUAUAAUACUCUAGGAUUGCCACUUAACUCAUUCAUACUCCUCCUUCUAGGUGCCAAUUUCAAAAAAACUAUCUAACAGUCUACAUCUAUGACAGGAAUUUCAUUGCCACCCAAAUCAUCGAGUUUCUCUACCUAAAGGAGAGAUGCCAAAGUGGUUGCUGCCCAAUAAAGAGGGUUAUAUAUCUUUUGUGGCUUCAAAGGACUUAUAUGAAAAGAUCCUAGGAGUAGCUUUUUGUGUUGUAUUUCAAGUGUUGCAUAGGUCACGUGAGAGUACUGCAUUCGAGGUUAUAGGAUCUGUUAAUUGCAAAGCCGCAAUACACAGAAGGCAUUUGAAAUUCUUUGAUUUGGAUAAUGUGUGGCUGGAGUAUAUGGAAUUGAAGAAUUUGUGGACAGUAGACCAUUUUGGUCCAAAUGACCAGACUCAUUUUCGCAUUAGCAUUAGAGUAUGCAAUUAUCACGAACUACUUGUGAAGAAGUGUGGAUUUCGACUAAUAUGCAAGCCACUAGAGAAUGGCUCAAAGGUUUUGCUUCAAGACGAUCAGUUGCUAGAUCCAGCUUUAUUGUACGAGGUUUCGCAUGAAGAUAAUCCAAUGAGCACAAAGGAAAAAGGAUUCAACAUGGUUGAUUCAUCAAUCGAGGUAUCUCUCUCUCUCUCUCUCUCCCCCACCCCCUUCUCCCAAUGUGUGUGUGUGUGUGUGUGUAUGCAUGUGUUGAUAUGGUGCACAUUGGGUGCAUGUAAUGCAAAACUAUAAAUUCUAGACAAACAAACUAAUUUAAUAUAAAGUGAUUAUGCACGUGUAUAAAGCUUAACAAAAUCUCAACUUAAUACAAUGAUGAAGACCCGAUGUUCAUAAUUCCUGCAUUGAAAAAUAUGGUCGAAAUCUUAGAAAAUCUAACAAACAAAUGAACACGUGGUUCUUGAUAAAAUGGUUGAUCAUAACAACUAACACCAAUAAUAGUACUAGAUCAACUCUACGGACUAAGAUAAAACUGCACAACUAUAAUAAUUCAACAAUUCGACAUGAGACCUUUUUCACUCUUAGGUGUUUGUUGCUAUUAUGAUAGGGGACCGUCGUAUUACAUGCCUGGCUAGCCACAUGCAAAUUACUUGGACAGUGUGAUUUAAUUUUAUUAAUAGAGAGUAUUGCAUUUGAGAUUCUCCUUUUAUAUAAAGUUAGAGCAGACAUAAAAGGGGUAAGUGGUUGGAUGAGGCUGGUCUGUGGAGAGGGCAUGCAUUAGAUUUUCCUUUUCAAUUUUUUGGUAGUUUAAGUGCAAGUAGAAGUUUUUUUUUUUNNNNNNNNNNNNNNNNNNNNNNNNNNNNNNNNNNNNNNNNNNNNNNNNNNNNNNNNNNNNNNNNNNNNNNNNNNNNNNNNNNNNNNNNNNNNNNNNNNNNNNNNNNNNNNNNNNNNNNNNNNNNNNNNNNNNNNNNNNNNNNNNNNNNNNNNNNNNNNNNNNNNNNNNNNNNNNNNNNNNNNNNNNNNNNNNNNNNNNNNNNNNNNNNNNNNNNNNNNNNNNNNNNNNNNNNNNNNNNNNNNNNNNNNNNNNNNNNNNNNNNNNNNNNNNNNNNNNNNNNNNNNNNNNNNNNNNNNNNNNNNNNNNNNNNNNNNNNNNNNNNNNNNNNNNNNNNNNNNNNNNNNNNNNNNNNNNNNNNNNNNNNNNNNNNNNNNNNNNNNNNNNNNNNNNNNNNNNNNNNNNNNNNNNNNNNNNNNNNNNNNNNNNNNNNNNNNNNNNNNNNNNNNNNNNNNNNNNNNNNNNNNNNNNNNNNNNNNNNNNNNNACAUUAGGGGUGGGUAGCACUUGCUGGGGAAAUGAUUUUCAACAUAAGCAACAAUCAAUAUGUCUAAAUUAUUAUAGAACUCUUGCCUUUAGUUGAAUUACUAGUAAUACGCACAAAUCAAACUCUUUUCUUGAACUAAUUACAAACUUGGAUACUUCUAAUAAUUUACACAUAUAACAGAGGCAUCGCUAUUCUAGCCUUUGGUGUCAUUAUGGGAAUGUUAGCCCCGGAAGAGAGAUGCCAAAUGGGUUCGUCCGUGUUGAAGGCAGUACUAUAUCUUUCAAGGCUUCGCAAGACUUGUACAACAACUUCGUAGGAUUUUUUCUCUGUGUUGUCUUUGAUGUAGAGGAAGGAGAAAAGGAAGUAUCUUUCGACAUCGUACCACGUGUGAACGGCCAAAAGCGGAAUGAGGUAUCGGGAACUCUCGGUUCAUUUGAUACGGAUCACGUGUGGUUUCAAUUUUUCAGAACAAAUGCACUGUGGGGAUUAUUGGAGGGAGCAGUCGACUUUGGUCAAUUUGACGAGAGUUAUCCGAUAUUUAGCCUUAAUAUUAGAGUAAUGGGUGCAACCGUUAAAAGGUUGGGAUAUGUGUUGCAAUCCAAUCCUCUAGAGGAUGCUUUGAAGGUUGAGAUUGAAAAGAAUUGCUCCAUGAAUCCGGCUUCACUCUUUGAGCAUAGGGAUGAUCCACAAUAUGCGUGGAGAAGAUGGCAGAUGGAAGGAUUUGUCCCGGAUUUUUCACUCCUUGAGGUCAUGCCUGAGGUUAGACUCUCUCUCUCUCUCUCUCUCUCUCUCUCUCUCUCUCUCUCUCUCGCAUUGAUAUGGAGUAGGGUACAUUAUGGCUUGCAUUAGGUGUUUGUUCAUUGCAAAAGGCUAAAAAUCCCGGAAUGGUGGGCUAAUUAAAAAAAAGAAAAAUGAAACAUAUAAAAAGUGAUUGUGCAUACAUAUAGUGGAGGUUGAUGUAAUACAAGCAAAUGAUAUUCUCUUUAUUUAUAGAACUAUAGUUCGCUGUUAAAUUACAAGGACCGUCCAAUGAAAAACUUCAAUAACACAUGUUCAUCUGGUUACAAAAUAUUCAACAAUACAUGUCAUGUUUCCACCAAUUAAGUACAAAAAAAGAAAAAUCUUUGUAUUUCUAUUGCUAACUAUAUAUAAAACUCUAGGAUUGCCACUUAACUCAUUCAUACUCCUCCUUCUAGGUGCCAAUUUCAAAAAAACUAUCUAACAGUCUACAUCUAUGACAGGAAUUUCAUUGCCGACCAAAUCAUCGAGUUUUUCUACCUAGUGGAGAGAUGCCAAAGUGGUUGCUGCCCAAUAAAGAGGGUUAUAUAUCUUUCGUGGCUUCAAAGGACUUAUAUGAAAAGAUCCUAGGAGUAGCUUUUUGUGUUGUAUUUCAAGUGUUGCAUAGGUCAUGUGAGAGUACUGCAUUCGAGGUUAUAGGAUCUGUUAAUUGCAAAGCCGCAAUACAUAGAAGGCAUUUGAAAUUCUUUGAUUUGGAUAAUGUGUGGCUGGAGUAUAUGGAAUUAAAUGAUUUGUGGAGAGUAGACCAUUUUGGUCCAAAUGACUGGACUCAUUUUUGCAUCAGCAUUAGAGUAUGCAAUUAUCACGAACUACUUGUGAAGAAGUGUGGAUUUCGACUAAUAUGCAAGCCACUAGAGAGUGAUUUAGAGGUUUUGCUUCAAGACGAUCAGUUGCUAGAUCCAGCUUUAUUGUACAAGGUUUCGCAUGAAGAUAAUCCAAUGAGCACAAAGGAAAAAAGAUUCGGCAUGGUUGAUUCGUCAAUCGAGGUAUCUCUCUCUCUCUCUCUCUCUCUCUCUCUUCUCCCAAUGUGUGUGUAUAUGCAUGUGUUGAUACGGUGUACAUUGGGUGCAUGUAAUGCAAAACUGUAAAUUCUAGACAAACAAACAAAUUUAAUAUAAAGUGAUUCUGCACGUGUAUAAAGCUUAACAAAAUCUCAACUUGAUACAAUGAUGAAGACCCGAUGUUCGUAAUUCCUGUAUUUUAAAAUACGGUUGAAAUCUUAGAAAAUCUAAUGAACAAAUGGACACGUGGUUCUUGAUGUUACGGUUGAUCAUAACAACUCACACCAAUAAUAGUACUAGAUCAACUCUAUGGACUAAGAUAAAACUGCAUAACUAUAAUAAUUCAAUAAUUCGACAUGAGACCUUUUUCACUCUUACGUGUUUGUUGCUAUUAUGAUAGGGGACCGUCGUAUUACAUGCCUGGCUAGCCACAUGCGGAUUACUUGGAUAGUGUGAUUUAAUUUUAUUAAUAGAGAGUAUUGUAUUUGAGAUUCUCCUUUUAUAUAAAGUUAGAGCAGACAUAAAAGGGUAAGUGGUUGGAUGAGGCUGGUCUGUGGAGAGGGCAUGCAUUAGAUUUUCCUUUUCAAUUUUCCGUUAGUUUGAGUGCAAGUAGAUUUUUAUUUAUUUUUUUAUUUAUUUUAAUAAUGUUAAAUUUGUUGCAUGUAAGUUGGAGUUCAAUUAGGACAGUUUGUACUGAAGAAUCAGUGAUCUCCAAAGUGAACUCGUAACAAUGAACAUUAGACAAUGGGGUCUGACGAGGACGAUUAAUUUCUUGGAUAUGCUGUUCUAUUUUCCAUCAAUUUUUCACUUCCUAUAUAUUACACUUGCAGUGUAUGAGCUGUGUUUAGGGUUAUUCAAUCUAACAUUAGGGGUGGGUAGCACUUGUAGGGCAAUGAUUUCCAACAUAAGCAACGAUCAAUAUGUCUAAUUAUUACAUAACUCUUGCUUUAGUUGAAUUACUAGUAAUAUGCACAAAUCAAACUCUUUUUCUUGAACUAAUUACAAACUUGGAUACUUCUAAUAAUUUACACAUGUAACAGAGGCAUCGCUAUUCCAGCCUUUGGUGUCCCCCCUGGGAAUGUUAGCCCUGGAAGAGAGAUGCCAAAGGGGUUUGUCCCUGUUGAAGGCAGUACUAUAUCUUUCAAGGCUUCGCAAGACUUGUACAACAACUUCGUAGGAUUUUUUCUCUGUGUUGUCUUUGAUGUAGAAGAUGGAGAAAAGGAAGUAUCUUUCGACAUCAUACCACGUGUCAACGGCCAAAAGCGGAAUGAGGUAUCGGGAACUCUCGGUUAAUUUUAUAUGGAUCACGUGUGGUUUCAAUUUUUCAGAACAAAUGCACUGUGGGGAUUAUUGGAGGGAGCAGUCGACUUUGGUCAAUUUGACGAGAGUUAUCCGAUAUUUAGCCUUAAUAUUAGAGUAACAGGUGCAACCGUUAAAAAGUUGGGAUAUGUGUUGCAAUCCAAUCCUCUAGAGGAUUCUUUGAAGGUUGAGAUUAAAAAGAAUUGCUUAAUGGAUCUGGCUUCACUCUUUGAGGAUGGGGAGGAUCCACAGUAUGCGUGGAGCGAAUGGGAGGAUCCACAGGAUGCGUGGAGCGAAUGGGAGAAUCCACAGUAUGCGGGGAGCGAAGGGGAGGAUUUGUCACUCCUUGAGGAUGGGGAGGAUCCACUGUACUAUGAGGGGAGCAAAUGGGAGGAUUGGUGCAAGAGACUCGAAGAUAUGCAUGGAGGGAGAGACUCAAUAUAUUAGAAGAGGGGCAUCAUGCCUGGCUCACGUGUCUUCAGCAUGGGGGUGCUGCGGGAGGUAAAGCAGAGGUUUUGCGAAAAUAUUCGGAGUCAUUUUCAAGUUAUUUGUAUUAGGGUUUGGGUGAAUGUGUGUGAGUGAUUGAUAGUAUGUGCAUGGAUAAGGAUUGCGAGUGUAUCUGGUUUUUUUUUUUUUUUUUUUUUUUUUUUUUUUUUUUUUUUUUUUUACGAUUUCUAUUUUUUCUUCCUUUUGUGGCCAAUGGGGGCGGGUAAAAUCCCUCCAUCUCUAUAUUUGGGCUAGUUUCUCGCCUUAGUGAUAGUGUUUCUUGUUUUUGCUUUUGUUAAAAAAAUCAUUUGAUUGAAGAACCAUUCCAAAAAGAAAUUGCUAUUCGUAUUGUUAGUUGAGCAAACCCAAUGAGCUUUUCCAUCUCGAGCUUUUGCCAAUAUAUAUAUAGAUACCCCAUGCAUAUAUUAAAAUACACUAUGCUCAUACAUAACUAUAGAUGGACGAAAUCAUAACUUGAGAUAAUGAAGAUGAUUCACAGGUUAGCGAUUAACAUCUUAUCUUUUAAAUAUGAAUACAAAAGAAUUCUCUACUUUUUAUUGUCUUACCUUAUAAAAGAGGUUAAAAAUUUUACAUACUAACAAAUAUCAUGACGCUGCAUGUACAUAAGAAAUUGAUAUUUUGAAAGUUGGACAAAGUAAAUAUAUUAUUUGCAUGUAAUAAACAUGACAGUACCAUUUUGCUAUACUUCUUGUCUUAUUAUAUUGUGCUUUAGCUUUAAAUCCUAAAUUUGUUAGCAUUUAAUACUAAAUGCUACAAAUUUUGAGUAAUUUAUAAAAUGUUCUAGUUAUUAAAAAUCAUUUGAAAUGCUUUUACAUGCUUACUUUGUUUGAAAUAUAUGUGAUCUUAAACAAAUGAAAGAAUUAUAUAAUCAAAUCUACCAUAAAAGUUAUACGUGAUGUCAUGUGACUGAUUUAAAUUAUAUUGUUACAUAAUGGUCAAGAUUAUGUUAUUUCGUAAUAUUUAAAUCAUUAAAUCAUGGAAAUAAAUAGUUGGUGAAAUACACAAAAUGAAACAAUGCGAUUGAGGAUGCCACUUCCUCAUGGCUCCAUCACCAUUAAUCGAUCGUUUGUACCAUCUCUGAUCGGUGACACCCGCCGUCAAAUCUCGCCCGUCGGUCACCGCAAUUGCGGCCAUGACGGAGCAGAGAACGGAUGCUCAUCACCACCGAUCGAACUUCUCUCGUGCUCUUUCUCCCUCGCUUGGUGCGUGCGUGAGAGCUGAGGAACCGAGCAAAGCAAGAAUGCACGCGCACAGACCGAGAAAAAUAUCUUCCUCUCUCAUCUUGAGCGCUCUGGACCGAAUUCAGUGUCCACACCCGCGGUCGAAGCCAGUUGCAGCUGAAUAUCUUCAUCGAGCAAUUUCGUUGCUGAAAUGAUUCGUCGCCUUAGCUUCGUGUUUGUGAGAUUCUUCAAGUCUUUCGAUGUCUUCAUUUAUUAGCAGGUAACCGUUCGGAUCAGAUCUCCCCAAGGUAACCUAGAAGAAAAAGAAUCUAGAAGAUAACCUGUAUAUGAGUGUAGUUGCUGAACAAUCAAUUGCAAUACACCAGUUGAACAUUUCUUUUCAUCUUUCUUCUUGUUCAACCUUACAAGCUUUACUAUAUGAAGAACAAAAAAAAUACAGAGAGAGAGAGAGAGAGAGAGAGAGAGAGAGAGAGAGAGAGAACUUGAGAAGAACAGAGAGAAUUAAGAGAAUAGAGAGAUUCGAGUUUUCAGAAAAUGUAUUACAACAGUUCAUCAGUUUCCUUCAAUCCCUUUAUACUAAAGCUUAACUACUUAGACUUUCUUUCAAAACAGAUUUAACAACUUUAGUAAGAGAAUGAUUAAUCUUGGCACACGUGCAGCUCCUACAGUAGCUUGAUCAACUUUUGUUCUUGGUUUUACUCUUUUGUAUAAUCUGAUUCUUCACAGGGAUUGCCAGCUCAACUUUUCUACAGAUCACCAGCUCAGCUUUUGUUUCUUCGACUUCUUUAUAGUUUGCCAGCUCAUCUUUCAGCUUUACUUCGAUCUUGCUCUGCUUUGGUUUAUUCAGCUGCCUUGUUCAGCUGUAGUUGCAACUCAUCUUUCCCUUCUUUUAUCAUCUUCACUUUGCUCAGCUCAUUUGCUUCUAUCAGCUUCUUUGUUCUGUGUUUUUAAUCUUUGUUUUGUCUCUUUAACAUCCCCCCUCAAAUUGGGAAUGGGGAGAGCACAGAUUCCCAAUUUGACUCGUAGAUGAGAAUGUGCUACUCGUGACAAGGGUUUUGUAAAGAUAUUAGCAAGUUGGCAAUGACUCGGAAUAUAUCUUACAUGUAAUGACCCAGAAGAUACCUUUUCUCGAACAAAAUGAAAAUCUACUUUAAUAUGUUUUGUUCGAGCAUGUAAGACAGGAUUAACAGUGAGCGAGAUAGCCGAUUUAUUGUCACAGUAUAGAUGAAUAGGAGGAGUAAGAGAACAACCUAUGUCUCGUAAGACAAAGUUGAUCCAAGUGAGAUCAGCAGUGGUUGAUGCAAGAGCACGAUACUCAGCCUCUGUAGAGGAUCUACUAACUGUUGGUUGUUUCUUUGCUGCCCAGGAGAUAAGAUUGGAGCCAAGAUAUGUGCAAAAUCCAGUUGUUGAUCUUCUGGUUUCAGCACACCCAGCCCAGUCUGCAUCCGAGAAGCCAUAGAGAUGCAUAGUGCUUUGUGAAUGCAUGAAUAAGCCGAAUCUAAUUGUACCUUUAACAUAUCUCAGUACCCUUUUCAAUCUAUGGAGGUCUGCGAUGGUAGGUUUCUGCAUUUUCUGGCAGAGUAGANNNNNNNNNNNNNNNNNNNNNNNNNNNNNNNNNNNNNNNNNNNNNNNNNNNNNNNNNNNNNNNNNNNNNNNNNNNNNNNNNNNNNNNNNNNNNNNNNNNNNNNNNNNAAUAGUUGGUUUUAAUGAAAGAGGAGUUGGAAUUGGUUUAGACUUGAGCAUAUGGGCUCGGGUGAGAAGAUCAAUAGCAUAUUUAGCUUGGCAAAGGAACAAAUGUUUAGGAGUACGCUUAACUUCAAUGCCAAGGAAAUAGUGUAGUGAACCAAGAUCCUUCAUAUGAAACUGAAGACUUAGAGAAGUAAUGAGACUAGAGAGUAUUUGAGAUGAGCUUCCAGUUAGAAUGAUAUCAUCAACAUAUAGUAGUAAGAGGAUUGUUUCUGUAUCGGUAUGUAGGAUGAAUAAUGAGGGAUCAAUUGAGCUACAAAAGAAUCCAUAUUCUAGUAAGUAACUGCUAAACUUAUCAAACCAAGCUCGAGGAGCUUGUCGAAGUCCAUAGAGGGAUUUUCUGAGGAGACAAACAUGAUGAGGUCUCUGUGAUUCUUUAAAACCUGGUGGUUGUUCCAUAUAAACUAUUUCACUCAAGUUACCAUGUAAGAAAGCAUUUUUAACAUCUAGCUGAUGAAUUGGCCAUUGUUUCAUCAUUGCUACUGAGAGAAUUAUUCGAAUUGUAGCAUGCUUCACUACAGGACUAAAGGUUUUGGUGAAAUCAAGACCUUCUUCUUGAUGGAAACCUUUGGCUACAAGUCGAGCUUUCAGUCUAUCUAAACUCCCAUUAGGUGCAAGCUUUGUUUUAAACACCCAUUUGCAGCCAAUUACAUUCAUUUGAUCAAUUCUAGGGACUAACUCCCAGGUUUUAUUUUGAUACAAAGCAUCCAUUUCUUCUUGCAUUGCUUGACACCAUCCUUUGUGUGCUAAUGCAGACUUUACUGACUUUGGUUCAACAGGAACCUGAUAUUCAACCAGACAUGCAUAUUUUGGAUUUGCUUUAUCAAUCUCAGAUCUUAGUCUAGUCUGCAUAGGAUGAGUAGAAAAUGUACCUUGUGUACUUCCUGAUAUAGAACUGAUUUGUGCUUAUUUUGUAUUAACAUGUGAUGCCGAGUCAGAUUCUUGACUGGUAGACACUUGUUCUGCAAUAUUUGGAGAUAUUUGAGAUGCUUUAACAUUACUGAAUGCAUUAUCAGGAGUGAUCUGGAGCUCAGCAUCAGGUAUUGUGUUCAUUUGUGGUAUAACUAUAGGAUUGAUUAUGUUGAUCCCACUGUCCUACAUUUUUGGAAUGAUUUGACUUGAUCCAGUAUUCUGCAAAGUUUCAAUUGAUUUAUUGGCUUGUGACUGAAUCUGUUCUAUAGUAUUGGAUAUAGGAGAUACCAAUCCUCUUAUCCAUUGCUUGUAUAGUUCAGAUCCCUGUUGAUAUUCAGCAGUAGUUCUUUGAGUAAAAAGAAAUACUUUUUCAUCAAAAACUACAUGUCUUCUAAUAUAGACAUGUCCAUUAGUAGGCAAAAGACACUUGUAGCCUUUAUGUUUCUCACUGUAUCCAAGAAAUAUACAUGUGAGAGAUCUUGGAUCAAAUUUAUGCUUUGUAUAGGGUCGGAGACAUGGAUAACAUGCUAAUCCAAAAACUUGUAGAUGAGCAUAAUUUGGUUUCUAUUUAUACAGCUUAUAGUGAGGUGAGUUCAUAUGUAGUUUUGUUGUGGGAAGCAAAUUGAUUACAUAGACUGCUGCCAUGAAGGCAUCUACCCAGUAUUUUAAUGGUACUCUUGCAUGAUACAUCAUUGCUAUGCCCAAUUCAACCACAUGUCUAUGCUUUCUCUCAGAAACACCAUUUUGCUCUGGUGUAUAAGGACAAGAAAUGUUCUGCUUAAUGCUACACUGUUGUAGAUGAUUCUGAAAUUUGAUGCUAGUGACUCCUCCUCCAUCACUCUGAAACACUUUGAUCUUGUGAUCAAGCCGAUUCUCUACUAGUCUUUGAAACAUAACAAACACAUCAUACACUUCUGACUUCUGUCUCAUUGGAUAUAUCCAAUUAUAUCGAGAAAAAUCAUCCACAAAGAUGACAUAGUAACGAAAUUUCUGAACAGAUGGAAUUGGUGAUGGUCCCCAUGCAUCACAAUGUAUCUUUUCUAGGGGAACAUUAGAGAUAUAGUCUGAGAGUGGAAAGGGCAAAGCUGAGCUUUUAGUAAUUUGACAGCUGCUACACAUACUUGGAGCUUUCAAAUUAUAUUGGAUCAAAUGUUGACUUUGCAGAAUCUUCACUGUUUUUAAACUGGUAUGAGCAAGUCUUUGAUGCCAGACAUCUUCUCCUACUUCAUGUUGAGUCUGAGUGAAGAAAGCUUCUGUGGCUCUAGAUUCCACUCGAUACAGCCCCUUGAUUUUCCUUCCUAGCUUUACUGUUGUAUGAUUGUAAUGGUCAUUCAUAUUGUCACGCCCCAAUCCUCGGGCACGCACACAUCCUUCUACCUUGGUCGAUUUUAUAAUGCGAUAUCCCAGGACAAUGUAUCGCCGACCCUUUCUUUUAUUAAGCACAUGCGGAAGCAAUUAAAAUCCCCAGACAAUAAAACGAUGGGAAAGAAAAGCAGGGCCAUAUUUUUCAUAUUGAAAUUUAUAACCAAACUUUUAUACAAAACACAAACCAUAACACUUCACAACUUUUUAUUCUAAACUCUAUUCACAUCAAAAUGGAGAUAUCAAAGAAGAUAACAUCUCAGUCCACCUGGGCCGUCCUCAAGGCCCUUCUCAGGAUUGUCUUCUUCUUCCAAAAAUCAUUCUCUUCAGAUUUCACCUCCGAGUUCUCCUUCUCGGAUUCCUCCUCUUCAGCUCUUCAGCGGGGUCCUGAAAUGGUUUUCCCCAAACUGGGAUGAGACUACGUCUCAGCGAGUUCUACCCCACUAAGCCCGAUUAGUAAACUACUAUACUAAAGGCUGCCUAAACACGCACAGGGCAGAGGACUUACCUUGGCCUCAGAUCCCACCUGCAAGUCAGUACAAUUCAUAAUAGGCACCCAAGCAAUCAUAUGACCGAUCGAAGCAUCGAUCAAAUCGACCUAGUCGAUUACAUGCCAAACAAAUCAAUCCCCACUGUGGGAUAUUUAAAAACUAGGCCACGUGUAUUCUCCAGGAUGACCUUCCAAGUCUCCGAGUCACGUGCCUUGAACCUUGGGCCCACGUGCAUUCUCUCAGGCGACCUUUUCGCCAAAGUGAUGCAUCAAGUCACCGAGACCACGUGCCCUUUUAGAUGCCCGGGCCCACGUGCAUUCUCUUAGGUGCAUCUCACCAAAGCGAUGCAUCAAUUCGCCGAGACCACGUGCCCUUUUAGAUGCCAUUCCGGAAUGCUGGACCCACGUGCAUUCUCUAAGGUACUCGCUUACCAAAGUGACGCAUCAGAUCACCGAGCCACGUGUCCUUUUAGAUGCCAAAUCCUGUCACCGAGCCACGUGCAUUCUCCAGGACGACAUACCGAGUCUCCGAGCCACGUGCAUUCUCUCAGGCGACCUUUUCGCCAAGGUGACAUAUUCAACCACUGAACUCACGUGCAUUCUCCAGGUGACAUUCCAAUUCACCGGGCACACGUGUCCUCUUUCAAGUGGUCACCAAAUCUACUUUCAACACCGAUAACCAAUGCCCAACGAUUUCUCAAUCAAAUAAUUAAAUCAACUCCACAAAGCAUUAUAAAUACUGAAUAACAUACUUGGCCAUUUACCAAUCAACAAUUCAAUCGCAAUCAAUUCCAAUCAAUUUAGGGUAAAUCCCUAAAAUAUCACAAUUUAUUCAAUUCCAUACAACGUAGAGCUCAAAUAAAUAAACGAAUUGCGCCACGACGAUCAGCACGAGAUUUCGGUCGUCAGCCAUCAAAAUCUUAAUUUCCGAAAAAUAAAUAAAUAAUUAUUAAUUUCGAAAAUUAAUUAAUUACUAUUAAAAAUUCAAUUUAGCUCAAAAUAAAGCCUGAUUAAAUAAACAGACUUCACCACAGUCAUCAGCAUAAUAUUCCGGUUCCGAACCAUCUCCCUUGAAUUUUCAGAAAAUAAAUAAUUAUUUAAUUUAAUUUCGAAAAUUAAUAUUUAAAUACUAAAAAUAUCCACUUAGGCCCGAAAAGCCUAAUUGGAGCCCACUAAGGGUCGGGAAAAUUCCCGAAGCACUUCCAAUAAUUAGUAGACCACGUCUACUUGCUAAUUACACAAUCAAUUUAUCUAAAUCACAUCACAAUUGACUAAUAAUUGCUAAUUUAUUCUAAUCUAACAACCUAAACAUAAUUAAUUAAAUCUAAACCAGCUUAAAACAUAAUUAGCCACUAAUCCUGGAUUAGUGAGAUUACUCACCAAAUCGCACGCAAAUCGGAUCAAUCCGACGGCGGCGACGCGAGGAACGAUUGUUCCCAAAGCACGGCUCGGGUUCGGGGCCGGGAAACGGUCCAAAAGCGGGCCCGAAGGUGCUGAAACCCACUUCGUGGGUCUUGCUGGUCGCGGCCAAACAGAGCAGCUCCGGCGGCUAGGGCGGCGGGGAAGGCUGGCGGAGGGCGAGGGAGUCGCGGGGGUGGUCCGGCGAGGUUGGCGGUGGCCGGAGGUGGCCGGAGAGGGGCUGGUCGGUGCUGGAACAGAGACGAAACAGGGAUGGGCCGAGCUGGAUCGCGCGGCCUGGGCGCACGCGGACGGCGGCGGGCGCACGGGCGCGGGCGACGGUGCGGCGGUGCGGCGAGCGGGACGAGCGGCAAGCGGCUGGGGGGCGAGCUACAGCUUCUGGUUCGCUCGGCGUGGAGAAAAGAAGGAGAAGAAGAAAGAAGAAAAGGGGGUUCGGUCGAGCGUGCAGAGGAAGAAAGAAGAGAGAGGAGAGAGAAGAGAGAGAGAAAAGAGAGAGAUAAGGGUGUGGGGUUUUGACUAGUCAAAGAAGAGAGAAAGAAAGUGGGCGGUGGGGGCAAUUCGCACGAGGGAGAGGGGAGAGGAGAGAGAGAGAAAGAAAAGAAAGAAAAGAAAAGAGAGGGAGAGAGAGGAAAAAGAAAAGGAAAUGUAUAAUUCCUUAUUUCAAUUUUCCUUUUCUCUUUUCCUUUUCCUUUCUCUUUUCUUUUGGGCUUCAAUUUUCUUCCGAUAAUUUCUUUAUUGAAAUUCCGGACUCGUCAAUAAAUUGACGAGCGAUGAGACAGGGUCCUAAAAAUAAGAAUUAUGACGCGCUUAAAAUUCGAUUCCCGAAAUCGAGUUCAAUUUCGUGGUUAAAAAUCGAUCAGACGUGAUUUUAGCUCAAUCCAACCAAUUAGGUAGCUUUUAGGGAUUUUACAGCUGAUACAUCCCUUAACGGCUUCACCCAAUAGGUCAGUUAACUCGUGAGUGAUCAGCUCAGAGAAAAAGGCCAUAGGCACGCCGACGAAAUGCCCAUUUCACUUUAUCGAAACGGAGUCGAAUUUCAGGACGUCACACAUAUACACCCCCAUGUUUGUCAAAUAUAAAAGAACAAGGAUAGUCAUCUGUUAAUUUUGAUAUAGAAAGGAGAUUCUUCUUGAUUUCAAGAACUAUUAAAACAUCAUUUAGUGGUAAUAUGCUAGUUGUUGUAUUUAAUGUUCCAUUACCAAUACAUGAGAUUGAUAAACAAGACCCAUCUUGUGAUGUCCCAGAGCGUCACGUACUAAGCGCAAGCAGAAUUAUAAUUAUUAUUAUUAUUAUCUUUUUAACUAGUAAUCUCCUUUAGAUAACCCAUAGAGUUUACCAUUGAAGGUUAGCAUGUAUAACAUGGAUUAUUUUAAAAUCUCAAGUUUAUAUUAUAAGGUUAUCCUGCAAUGCACAUAGACAAGAUCAUAAAGGGCUUCCUUUCAUUUUAUCAUCAUCGGGGCAUACAAAAUUAUCGACCUGGACUCAUUCCAUGUUCUUCGCCUAUAUAUUUACAUCAUAUACCAAAACAAAAGUAAGGCAUAACAAAAGCCAGGGAUAUGGGUGAGGUUAUCUACUCCAUGAGUUCCCACACUAGCCUGCAUCUAACAAAAAACAAAAGUCAGUCAGCCUCUACACGAUCCAAGGCGUCUAGGCGCCGUCCAUCCCCGCUCCAGGUCCUCCUACUCCAAAGGGUAAAGGUCUGAACAUCUCUCCUUCAUGGUUGACAAACCAUGCAACGAACGUCAUCGGUAAUAACUCAGCUCUACCGUCAUCCAACCAUAAGGUGGCCUCAUACUUGGAGAGGGUCAUGUCAAUGUCGGGAUCAUACUCGUCAUGAAGAGAAACAUCAAGACGCACUACCGCCCCGUAUCGAGCUACCGGCGGUACAUCCAUGCUAUCAAUCUGAAAAUGUAAGGUAUGAGCAAACAACCUUGCCCAAUAAAGAAUGAUAAAACUCUAACUUAAACAAUCCAUAGCCAUCAAAGUUACAAGUGAAUCAUCAAACAAUUUAGGAUGCUAAGAGAAUAUAUCACAAGCAUAAACAAUACUAUUACUUCAUGUAAGAAAUCACCUUAUAUGCAUCCACUUCUAUACUUACCCUUCACAAACUCAAUCUCACAUCAAAAUAUAAUGCAACAAUAAUAGAUGAACUCAAUUGCCAAAUAAUUAUAUUUAGUGUGCAUAAAAUCCACCCUCGAUCAAUCAUUAACAGGAAUUCAACCGGCCGANNNNNNNNNNNNNNNNNNNNNNNNNNNNNNNNNNNNNNNNNNNNNNNNNNNNNNNNNNNNNNNNNNNNNNNNNNNNNNNNNNNNNNNNNNNNNNNNNNNNNNNNNNNNNNNNNNNNNNNNNNNNNNNNNNNNNNNNNNNNNNNNNNNNNNNNNNNNNNNNNNNNNNNNNNNNNNNNNNNNNNNNNNNNNNNNNNNNNNNNNNNNNNNNNNNNNNNNNNNNNNNNNNNNNNNNNNNNNNNNNNNNNNNNNNNNNNNNNNNNNNNNNNNNNNNNNNNNNNNNNNNNNNNNNNNNNNNNNNNNNNNNNNNNNNNNNNNNNNNNNNNNNNNNNNNNNNNNNNNNNNNNNNNNNNNNNNNNNNNNNNNNNNNNNNNNNNNNNNNNNNNNNNNNNNNNNNNNNNNNNNNNNNNNNNNNNNNNNNNNNNNNNNNNNNNNNNNNNNNNNNNNNNNNNNNNNNNNNNNNNNNNNNNNNNNNNNNNNNNNNNNNNNNNNNNNNNNNNNNNNNNNNNNNNNNNNNNNNNNNNNNNNNNNNNNNNNNNNNNNNNNNNNNNNNNNNNNNNNNNNNNNNNNNNNNNNNNNNNNNNNNNNNNNNNNNNNNNNNNNNNNNNNNNNNNNNNNNNNNNNNNNNNNNNNNNNNNNNNNNNNNNNNNNNNNNNNNNNNNNNNNNNNNNNNNNNNNNNNNNNNNNNNNNNNNNNNNNNNNNNNNNNNNNNNNNNNNNNNNNNNNNNNNNNNNNNNNNNNNNNNNNNNNNNNNNNNNNNNNNNNNNNNNNNNNNNNNNNNNNNNNNNNNNNNNNNNNNNNNNNNNNNNNNNNNNNNNNNNNNNNNNNNNNNNNNNNNNNNNNNNNNNNNNNNNNNNNNNNNNNNNNNNNNNNNNNNNNNNNNNNNNNNNNNNNNNNNNNNNNNNNNNNNNNNNNNNNNNNNNNNNNNNNNNNNNNNNNNNNNNNNNNNNNNNNNNNNNNNNNNNNNNNNNNNNNNNNNNNNNNNNNNNNNNNNNNNNNNNNNNNNNNNNNNNNNNNNNNNNNNNNNNNNNNNNNNNNNNNNNNNNNNNNNNNNNNNNNNNNNNNNNNNNNNNNNNAAUGAAACAACUUAUCUACCACAAAUCUCUCUAAAAUACUCCAAUGCUUACUCACAGCAACUCAAAGCAACUUCAGCAUAUCUUUCUCUAACAAAUGAUCAAUUCCACAGCUCGGCUCGAAGUGUCGUUGCAUCCGUAAGCCACUAUUCACGAUUUCUACCAAAACAACACACUCGGCAUCCAUUUCAUCACCUCGCUCAACAAGACAGCAUACUCACACAAGGAUUUCGAGACAUGCAGUCCUCAAAAACAACAUGCAAUGGCUUCUAACUCUAAUCUAACACUUACUCAGCUUAGAUCAAUUACAAAACAGCAACUACAAACUAUAUCCAUCACAGUUUGGUUAGAUCCUCAAGCUCCCUUUAUGAAACAAUGGAUAACUUUCAAUUUAGAGUUAGAUCUUUCCUUACCUUGCUUCAGCUACUAAACAACACAGAGAUGCUUCAAGAUCAACACUCAAAAUCAGCAUGCAAGAAGAAGAAGGUUGCUGGUUUGCUUCUGGUUUUUCGCUGCUCAGCCGAGAAAAAAGAUGAAGAAGAAGAUGAAGAUGGGGGUUGCUCAGUUUUAUAUGGAGAGAGAGAGAGAGAGAGAGAGAGAGAGGAUAUGAAGCUUAAGGGGGAAAAUAAGUCUACAAACUAAUCCCUAGGCUAGUGUAAUGAUGAGAUCUUGUAAUGAUUAUGUUCCUUGAGUUUGCAUGUCUCGGUUCAUGGGAAUCAAAACCGUGGGUGAAGAAAAACAAAGAGAGAAGAGAGGUGUCGUGGCCUCCAAGCUUGUUCUCUCAAGUUUAAUUUGUCACUCAAAAUUAAUUAGUCUCUAAUCUGAGUCAUUAGUCGGUUCAUUGAUUUCUAAUAUUUUUCCAUUUAUUCCCUUUUGUUUCAACUUGAUUUCAAUCCUUUUGUGAUUAUACAAAGUCAUGGCAUAACAUAUCGAAUGACAUAACAUAUCGACUAGUCAAUGUUAGUGUAUAAAGAAUUCAUCACAAAAAGAAUGCUAAUGUUAUAAAUUGAUAUUAGCAUUAUAAACAUUAAUCAAGUUAUCAUAACUUUAAAUAAAAUCAGUCGGGCCUAAAUAUUCAUUCUCGGCCCAACAGGCUCAAUCUACAACGAUCCAGCCCACUAAACUAAAUCUACCAAUCUAAUAAUUCCGAACCUUGGCCUGCUUCAAACCAAGUCAAAGCCCAUAAUCUCUCAUUAGAUUUCUUACGUCCAAUUCGGGAAAAAUCCCAAGAUUCAUUCAAUAAAUAAUAGUACGUCUCUACUUGCUAAUGACUAAGUCUAACCACCUAACAUGCAUCAUUAAGUCACUAAUUUAAUUGAUUUAAACUAAUCUAACCACAUAAUUGUACUUAAUUAAAUCUAAUCAACCCUUAAGCAUCAUUAGUCUACUAAGCAAGGAUUAGUGAGAUUACUCACUUGAUUAAAAGCAGGGACCGGGACACCACAACGGCGACGCGACGGCGGCCGAAAUCGGAUUCUCGGUGACACCGGCGGGCUUGGACCGGGCCUUUAACUUAGCCCAACAAAUCUCCGUCUAAAUUGAGAUUUGUUACUGAAAUGGGCCGAGCUUGACUGAAAUAGCACUUGCUGGGCUUCUUGGGCCGCAGGACUUCAAAGGCUGGGCUGACUUGCUGGGCCAGAAUUAAACUGAAAAUGGGCUCUCUCUAGGCUGAAAUGAGCCAAAUUGCUAGGCUUCAAUUCUAAUUGAUGAUGGGCUGAAUUAAAAAUUGAACUGGGCUGAGCAAGAUGCAAACUGGAAGCUAGGCUGGUCGGUGGCUUCAAAUGAGCUGCUGGGCUGAUGAAAACGGGCCGAACAAGGCAGAGAUGGGCCUUGACAAUUUCGUGAAGGCUGAGGGCACGCCGCUGGAGAAGACUGAAGACGGAAGCUGCUCGAGGACACUGCUUCGCUGGCCAAACUCGACUGACUCGGUGGCCGACCAAAAAUUAAAAUCAGUGCAGGCACGUUGCUGCUGGAGGAGACUCGGACGUGUGGCGUUGGUGUUGCGAACGCAACGAAGGCUCGGUGAAACGUGGGCUUCAACUCGAUGGAGGCUGGCAGCUGGAGUAACGACAGUUGCUGACACUGUUGGGCUGACCGCGCUGAAGAUGUUGGCUUGGAUUGACUUUACUUCGGUGGGAUCUUCGCUGGAGAAGCAAUGAACGGAAGCAGCUUCAAUUUGAGGCUUCGUGGGAGUCGGUCAACCAGGGCUUCGGUGGUUGGUUUGUUGACCGAAGCAGAAGGAGGAGCAGGCAGGUGGCAGCGUGGAGAUGGAGCGGUGGCGUGCAGUCAGGUGACGUGCAUGGAGAUGGGGGCUUCACCGCUUGCUGACCUCCGUCCGUUGAAAUGAAGACGUGCAGUUGUGGCGUGGCUGCUGCCUCUGUCUUCUUGCGAUGGAAUUCACGCGGAGGAGUGGCCGAGAUGGAGGGAGCAGUCGCACGAAAUGGGAAUGAUGGAAGGGAAGCAUCUCACGGCAGCAAGUUGGAGAGGAUGAGGGAGAGUUGGGCUCCACUUGGUUGGAUAUUUUGCAAAAUAUCUUCCGAAAGUCAUUCUUAGCCAUGCAUUAAUACUUGGCCUUCAAUAGGCCAUCCAAAUGUCCUAUAUAACCUCCCAAGUGAUCCAAUUUUGCUAGGCUAAAGGGGGUUACGAAAUUGAGAGAGAGAUGGCCUCAAUUGGUUCUAAAUCCCUCUUGAUUUCAUCUCAAUUGAUUCUCACAAAUUCAAUUGAUCAUUCAUUGAUUGUCUCUGCAUUUUUCCUCACUCAAGAAUCCACCAAAAAUCCAAAUUGAUACCAAUGUUGCACACCCCCAUCUUAAGAUUCGAUUUUAACUAAGUUCGAACUAAAUUUCAAUUCCAAUCUCUCCAAAUUGAGGUCCAAUUUUGAUGUAGAAAAAUCCCAAGAAAUUUUCUAUAAAUCUCCGACACACAAAGGCUCGGCCUGAGAGUCCAAUUUUCCAUUAAUUUAGCCAAUCUAAAUUUCCAUUGAUUUUUCACAACGUCCGAACCCAUUUUCCGUAAAAAUCUCGAUACCUCCGAAAAAUCUUCUGAGACUGAGUUGACGUUCCUAAAAUAGCUUGUGACAUCACCGAACUUUCGAUUUCUGAAAUCUGACUCAAAUUGACGGUUAAUUUCACUACGUCGUGUUUUUAGCGUGACUAAAACUACCGGGUAGUUUUCGGAACUUUUUAGGGCAAUUGACUCGUUAUCGAUUUUCUUCCAGCCACAAUGAACCCACUCGACACAUUGGCGACUCUCGAUUGUUGUGAAAAUCUCGAGGCCUCGAUUACAAAUACAAGGUACCAAAACGACAGAAAAAUCAAAUUAGUGCCGGUCGACGAGAAUUUUCCAAUUUAGUGGAGUCACCCACGAUCGGCCACACAUCUCAGUCGAACCGACCUAUCUCUGAUCUCAAUUCGAUCUUUAACUAUGCAGUAAUGACCUCUAAAGAUGAACACGGUCAAGAAGCCGAUUCCUGGUCGAAUUCUCAAGUCUAUUGCCUUAAUAUUCUUUAAUGGCUUACCCAGCUAGUCUAGUUAUCUCGAGAGUGAUCAGCUCUGAGAACAACCCUAUAGACGCGUCAAUGAAAUGCCCGAUUAAUUUAAUAGAAAACAAUACUGAAAAUUCUGGAUGUCACAAGUCCACCAAAGUUUGAGGAAGAGAGUCUUCAACCUACUUUAAAUUCAAACUAAGCGGAAACGGUACGAGAAAUGCUCAGGGAUUGGAAGCUUAGUAAGUUGAGAAAUUAUGGAUAUAUAAAAGCAGUUAAGAAAUCGUGGAUAUGUAAAAGAAGUUAAGUUAAGAAAUGGACAUCGACCUAGUAAUAAAUAAGGGGAAUUUAAGACUUAUGAAUAGAAGAUAUGUGAAGGAAAAAGAUGUGUUGAAAUUAUGCCGGAAUCCUGCCAAAAUUACUGCUGAUUUCCCUUUGAGUAUCGUCGUAACGUCGAUGUCGAUCUCAAUGUCUCCAUUUGAGCGUCAAUUGUACAAACUGUGAUUAAUUUCAAUUCCAGCAAUGUCAAUGUCCCAGUAAUCUCAUUUUCAGUUAAUUUCGUUUAGCUCAUUCCUUUUGGUGUUCUUUGCUUUGAUUUCCUUGUUCCCUGCAUUGCACCUUUAAAUAAUUCAUAGAACUUCCACUUUUAUUUCUGAGCAAAAAUUGCUAUUCCUGUCAGUUAAAUCGAUUUCCAUCAAACAAUUUCAUCCAUUGCUUCCGGGAGCUAGCAUGCACACACGCACACCAUCAAAGCCAUCUUUAGAAAAAUUGUUUGUGGACAGUUUAAUCAAUUUAAAGCCAAGCUAGAAUCAGAAAGUAAGCUUGUUAUUUGUUUUCCCAACCGCUUGACAGCCAGAUCAACUAACAUCUAGUGAAUUUGCUACAACAAUAUCAUAUAGCUAAACAGGCCAAUGUACACAAGUGGUUGCACUAUAAUAGGAUUCUAAAGUUAGCCACCACUGGUUCAAGAGGUGACUCCCGCCAUGUGAUAGUUUCUCCUAACAAGGCUCAAGAGGCGACUUCCACAACAUAACACUUUGUCCCGUGUGGCAUUUGGUUUGCAUUGUACACAAAUGUCAUUCCAUAUUCAAUGUACAGGUCACAUAUCUCAUGCUCAAUAUUUCACACAAUGAAUGAUGAUUCCUCAAGCAGAUUUGUGGUAUGCGGUUAUUUACUUGCUUUCUGAAGGAAUGUACCAAAUCUACAUACCAAAUUGAGCUGGCUCUAGAAGAACUUGUUACAUGUCUGCUUGCUAUAUUCCACUUCAGAAUCCAUGUUGAUGCAAGCUUCGCCAUCAAACUACUGACAUACCAAUAGAAUCGUUGGGUGCAAACAUUACAGAGUGAAAUAUGGCUCAAAAUUAUCAAUCAAAAAACAUGCUAUACACUUUAUACCUUUGCUUUUGAUAUUAUGAAGAGCAGUGUUCUAGACCUAUAUUUGGCGAUAGCUCUUCGAAUUUUCUUUGCUGGAGUUCGGUGCAUAGACUUAAUUCUUACUCAGCUCAUAAAUCCAAAAAUUCUCAAUAUGAAUAGAAGUAUCUUUUGGCCUGAUAAACAUGAAAAUAUGAGAGAGCAAGCUUGCUUCAUGUCAUGGGGUGUGUUUGACUGAUACAUUCCAUGACUCUGAUAAUGCCAUAUUCUUGGAAAGCUGAUUCAAUAGUUAUUUCAUGAGUGCCAUGAAUGGAUGAUAUAUGAAGAUUAUUCAUCUGCUAGCUUUACAAAAUGAGACUGUAUGUUAUGUUUUCUUGUAUAAAAAAGGAAGAAGUUAGACAGAAAGGGAUUUUGGUUUUAUAAUGUACCAUUAGUUCUUGAACUUUUUAUAGCCAAUUGAGACCUUAAACGACCUAAUUUUAUUUUUACUCUUUUUUUGUCCCCUGACUUUAAAGUAGUUUGAUUGAUCUCUCGUGCAUCGCAAUUCUCAUUGGCAGCUGUGGUACUCUAUCCUCGUCUUCUUCAAAGCGACUUUUUUGCACAUCGUGAGUUUUGUUUCACGCUCGAGUGAAGGCUGGGGCACAAUUACAAGGGGAUAAUGGAGUGCUGCAAUGGUGAUUGAUGAGGCGAAAAGCGUGGGUGAUAGAGUCCAUUUGGACUGCUCUGUUCUGUCCAAAAUUCCACGAGGUAAGAAUGGAACAAACUCAUCCGUGAAUUUGAAUGAUGGCUUGGGCAUAGAGGGAGAGUUUAGAGCUUCCAAAGCCAUUGAAAGCUGCAUGAACAAGAUUAUCUUCCACUGCCAGUUCUUGUCCCUUCUCUAUUUCUUCCACUGCCAGCUGCGUAGACUCAAUUAUUCGUCUGCUAGCUUUACAAGUUCAUCCAUGAAUUUGUGAUUUUGCCUAACUGAAUCCAGCUUUAAACCACCCCCUCCUCUCCCCCCCCCCCCAAACCCCCCUCUCAAGGGGGAAAAAAGAACCAAACCCAUUGUUUAAUUUACCGGUUUAAAUGUUUUGACUACUAGUUUUGGGAAGUUUGUUCUAUUUGUUUUGUUUAGUAUUUUUAUGUAGCAGCUUGUUUCAAAGCAAAGUGAUAUUCAAUCUAUUAUAUCAAUGCUCAGGUCAAUUUAGAUGGAUCAGGAUAUUCUAUAUACACAAAAUUUCAUGUAAAGUUUUUUUGGAGGAUUGCUGCUAUCCCUUGGUGCAAUGCUGGAAUAAAACCAGCGUAAUGGAAUCUUGUCUUGUAGACUCGCUGUGGAUGAGAAUUGUUCUUAUUGCGCUUGGGAGGCAGUCUCUUUUAAUCUCAUGCUGUUGGUACAUAUCCACUAGCAUCUAUCUGUAUUUCCUCCCAAUCCUGUUAAGUUGUUCGCUUUAAUAAUCAUAUCGGAAGGACUUAUGUUAUCACAGGUUUAAAAGUACCAACUAUGGAUGGAAAGUUGAAGUUAACUCUUGAAAAAUAAUGGUUAGUGGAGGAUUCUAACUGAGUUUAUUAUUAUUUUUUCAAAACUUCUGUGCAUCAUUGCUAGAAAGGAUGAUGUCGAGAUGACUUUGUUUUCUCAUGUUUUUUUUUUUUUUUUUUGGUCAGAUUGUUUUCUUAUAAAUUAAAAAGUAGAAAUGAGAAACUAAUUUGAGUUGGAUGGCCUCGACUCAAUGCUAGGUGGCCCCAAGUUUAUAAUGCAUCAAUUGUGGUGGCAUAGAUGGAAAUAUUCUUGCAUGCUAGAAGUGCUUGGAUAGAUAGUAUACGCAUUAGAUACGGGUGAUAAUUUUAAGAAACAUAUACCAUAGACAAUCCUUGUUGGGGAAUCAUCAAGGGAUAGACUUGAACCAUAGACAAUCCUUGUUGGGGAAUCAUCAAGCAAAGGGCCACAUGAAGCCAAGGUCAAACCAUAAAAAAAAUGAACUCUCCACUACUCAAUUUAUAGGUCAUUAGCUGCCUGGCCUUUUUACGUGUCUUUGGAAAAUGAAAAUCUCUUUUAUAAACGCCAAUGUUUUGUCACGAAGAAACUGACCGGCUAGUCCACCAUCAGAACUUCAAAGACAUGAACAUUGCAGAAUGCACAAUUAAUUGAUCGCCCUUCAAUAUACAGAAGACCAUAUAGAUGGUGAAACCUUCCAUAUGAACUCUCAAGAGUUAACUCCCAUUGUUUUCCAAAACUUGGAUCCUCUUCAUACAAAUCUUUGAGGACUUCAAAUCCACCAACAUUGAUUUACAUGGUAGAAGAGAGGAGCGCAUAUCAGCGGCAUAAAGCGUCCUUGACUGGAUUUUGAGUGCCAGAUUUAUGUUUGAGAAAAGAAUGGAAAGGACUACAGAAAUCCAUUCCAAGUUGCAUGUGGGCAAUUAAGCUUCUGUUGAGAGUUGUACCUGUUAAGUGGUCAAUGAUCAGAGUACGAAACAAACUCUUUUGCUAGCAAAUGGUGCCUCCACUGCUUGAGGGCAGCAUAAAACUCAUCAUAGGUCGAAUACUUCAGCUCGACAUCAUUCAAAUUUUCAUUACCGGGACAAAUGGAAGACCUUCUUGAUUGAGAACAGCACCAAUACCAAAUCAGCGUUCGGUGGUGCUAACACAGGAGCUUUAGUUAAUUUCUUCUUUAAGGGUUCAAAACUCUUUUGUGCCUUUUCACUCCACCGAAACCUCUCUCCUUUUAAGCAUUCCGUAAUUGGUGCAGCAAUGGAAGUGAAACUCUUUCUAAAUCUCGUGAAAGCUUCGCAUCUCAUGAUGCAACUUCGAUUCACAAGCUCCCCCGCGAGAAUGCUCAUUGACCCAAUCAAAUGUCACACACGUCCUCCCUCUUUUUGCCAUAGCAUCAAAAAGGGCUUCAGGGGAAAAUAAGUAGAUCAAGUGCUUUCAACAAUUCUAUGUACUCGAGCUCAGGUGUACACAUAAGCUCACAAGGCAACAUGAUCAGAAGAAUCUUAAAACACAUCUUCAAGUAAGAAACAAGCCACAGUGUUCUUGAAAAAUAAAGACAACACAUAAUAACACUAAUAAGUUGGUGGAGGAAGAGGAUAUUGUGGAAAGAAAUGAGGAUUUUGGAGGAAAAUUGAAGCAAAUCGACUGAACAAUUGAAGUUCCUCCAUAAUUUCCCGCAAAUCUCAUCGCAGACCAUGUGGGAUCUCCCUCAAAGCCAAGUAAGCUGGAUAGAGAGGGCCUCUACCGAUGGAUCAGCUCCAUUUCCAUAGUAUCAACUCCAGCAGCUGGUGUUAUACAGUUGUGGGCUAUACCCCUAAAGUUUGGUUUGGCCAUCCCAAGCAUUCUUCCACAUCCAAACUUCUUCUUUUUUUCUGAUGUCCAUAUCUGUUAGUGUGGACUCUCCGAUAAAUUGGUGGUCGUUUAGGACUCUAGGCAUCUCACCUCUGAGGUCGACAUCAAAAGUUCCAAAUAUGCCAUCCCCGCACGGAAAAUUUGGUCCUUUUGGAGGUCGCUUCGGGAGACCUAAAAACUGUUCUUGGACCUUGAACGCCAGCUUGAACAAAUCAACUCUGAGACCAGAAACGGGAAGCAGGCAGUAUAUCACAAUCGUAUGGAGACUAUGCUAUCACAAUCGUAUGGAGACUAUGCUAUGCAUAUUGACAUUCUAAUGCAGCGUGUUAGGAUCAUGAACUAACCGCUUCACUUGUUGUGAAAAAAGUGUCAUUUUUUUCUCAUGGUCGUGUAAGUAUCACUGACAACUAAAGGCCGCAACUCAUCCUUGGAAUUAAUGUUAAAAAAUAAUCAACGUUCCAUUGACAAAAAGACUCGUAAAUUAUGUUCUUCUUAUCAUCCUCACCUUUGAUCAAAUGAGUAUAAAACCCUUUCACAACUUCAAAAUAAAUCUCCUUGGACACCUUCCUUCGCGGUCAGUCGUCUUCCGUCAUCACUCGCGGCCAUUCCCUUACCACAGCCCAAAAAUUCAAUCCAUCCUAUGUUUUACACUGAUCACUGUAGCCAGCGUACUUGGAGUCCUCAUUCCGGCUUUCGAUCAUUGCUCGUCGCUUUGGAUCUCUUGCUUCUGUGAAGUAUCGGGAGGACCGUUGCCUUGCCUCGUUUCGGAGGCAAAAACUCUGAAGCUGUCAAGUCCCGCUCGAUCUCCACGAAUCCAUCUCAAGUUCGUUGAUCGACACUUACCUGAACCUCCAUGGACGAGUCUAAUCAGCACUCGUGGUUGAAAAUCCCUCCUCGGCAAGGUUGGUUUUGCAACAUUUUUUUGGUCAUUUCAUAAAUGAAGAUUUAGUUUGAAGUUGACGGUGGUGUAUGUCUGGGAAGAGACCAGGUUUGAAAUCAUUCUUUUGCCUCGAUCAAUCAAACCCUUUCUGCAAAGAAAGAAAUAUUUGGAUUGCGUUGUGGUGUUGAUACACUCAUUAUGUCUUUUUUCCUAAGAUGCUCACCAACCGUUUGAUAGAAUGCAUGAGUUAAAUCUGUGACCCUCGCCUCGUGUCGUUGAUUGAUUAGGAAGCAAAACUAACACGUUCGGAUUGAUUUUGUUGGAAGAUACUGAUUAUGGGAUGUGAUUGCUAGUCUAAGCAUUGUGGAUCAAACUUUUUUCCCCAUUCACUACGGUUCUGCUUUCCAGUACACUUUGGUCUCCCAAUAUGUUACCAGCUACCUAUUUUUGCUAUUUUUUUGCAUCUCUAUGGCCACAUGGUGUGGUCGUUUUUCUUGGCGAGAAACGUGGCUCGAAAUCUUUGACCCAUACGUUGAUUAGCUGCGUAAAUCUCGCGCUGGAUGAGGUCCAGUUCUUUACGCUCAUAUCCUGCGUGUGUUUCCGCUAAUCUGGGUUUAUGCAUGACGAUUAACGAAUGAUGGCCGUGCUCCAGGCGACUGAAGGNNNNNNNNNNNNNNNNNNNNNNNNNNNNNNNNNNNNNNNNNNNNNNNNNNNNNNNNNNNNNNNNNNNNNNNNNNNNNNNNNNNNNNNNNNNNNNNNNNNNAUCAUUGUGGUUUUCGAGUUGAAUCGUUGAUGAGGUUGAGUUGGUUUCUUUAGCAAAGCAAAGCUCUCAGGAUGUGCGCGAGGAAGAUGAUAGAAAGAAGACGACAGGGCAACAAAGAAGAAUAAGAAUGAUAGAAGAGAACAUAUGGGAAAAUGGGCCUCUUAAUGGACAAUGAAUUCACUGUGAGCUUAGAAUGAGAGAGCUGGGUUAGUGCCGUGUGAUUGGGCUAUAGGCCUCGUUUCUUUUUAGCGAAUUUGUGUUUGAUUAGUUUCAAGAGGGAAUUGGGCUCAAUUCUAUGAUUGAGCCCGGUUUGAAUUUUUGAUUGAAUCCUCUUAAGGCAAUAAGCCCAAUGAAUCGUGCCCAUAGAUAUGAUAUGUGUCAGCUCGAGUCUGUGCCGGGUCUGAAGACCCAGCCUAGACCCCUAUUUUCGAAAUAUAUAAUAAUAAUAAAUAAAAUUUAAUGAUCUAAAAAAUAUAAAAAAUCAAAAAAAAUUGAAAUAUGGUUAGAAACACAUACCUUGCUUAGGUCGUUAAGCCAUAGUGUUCUCGAAAAAUACGGGCAACACGUAAAAACUCUAAUAAACUUGGUGGAGUAGGAGGAUAGUGUAGAAAGAAGCGAGAAUUUUGGAGGAAAAUUGAAGCAAAUCGACUGAACAAUUGAAGUUCCUCUCAAUUUGCCUCAAUCCUUGUCACAUCUCAUUGCGGACCAUGUGGACCUCUGCUCAAAGCCAAGUAAGCUCAUAAAGAGAGCUCGCAGUGGAUCACCUUCAUUUCAUCCUAAUAUAAACUCCGACAGUUAGCCGCAUAUAGUGACGAUGGCUAUAUCCCUUUAAGUUUGGUUUGGCCAUCCCAAGCAUUCUUCCUUAUCCAAACUUCUCCUUUCUUCUUGUGAUGACCAUACCUUUUAGCGUGGACUCUCCAAUAAAUUGGCAGUUGUUUAGAACUCUAGGCGUCUAACCCCCAAGGUCGACCUCCUUUUGGAGGUCGCUUCACUUGUUUGGAAAAAGUCAUCAUUUUUCUCAGUCAUGUAAGUAUCACCAAUGGCUAAAUGCCUCAGAUCACCCUUAGGAUUAAUGGUCGAGAAUAAUCAACAUUCCAUCCACAAAAAGACUCGUAAAUUAUUUUCUUCUUAUCAUUCUUGCCUUUGAUCAAAUGAGUAUAAAACCAUUUCAUAGCUUUGAUAAAUGUCCACGGACACCAACUAGAAAACCAAAUCCAACCCGACUAGCUAAACCAUUUGCCUAAAUGGAAAUCUCUCCCAUGUAAAAAAACUCAAAAGUCUAUAGUUCGUCUCUUCCAACACACUUCUAGCAUAUCUAUGGAAACAAGCUUGGUUCCAUUCGUGGAACCCAACUUGCAGAGCAGUCGAUGCGACCUCGUCUUUGCUUUGUUAUGCCCUCCAGUGUGAUGAAGAACUACUUCUCCUCUUUUCCAGCUAUGUGUUUGAUCAGGCUGCAUCCACAAGUUGCGAGCUUUUAGAUAUAUUUAUGCAAAUGGUUACUCAAAGCUUCGUAAGUUUCUGCACAAAAUGGAGAAUAAUUCAGACAUUCAUGAUUGCGCCAUCAGAUUGCUAAAUCUAAUUUAUCUGGAUCUAAGAAAUUGCAAUCUAUCAUAAGUGGAUUUUCUUAUGGAUGAUACUUGUUUUUCCACCUUGAUGUAAUAUAAUGUCGAUCAAGACAUCUAAUUAACGUUGAAAAAAUUCACGCACAAAUAGGUUAGAUCUAUACACAUGCUAAUAUUGUUAAAACACCUAAUAAUACUCUUUCUUGAAGAAAGUCAUGCAACUAGGUGUUAGAGAAUAUAUAGAUAAGAUCAAAUGGAGAAUAAAUUACCCAAACAAAGUACCAAAUCUUAGGCAACUCGUUAAAAUAUAUAGAGAAGAUCAAAUGGGAAUAACCACCCAAACAAAAUACCAAAUCUUGGGCAACUCAUUGUUCAUUGUUAACUUCUGUUUCCUGAUUCUAAUGGCGUCUUCUUCUUCUUUCAAUUCCAGAACAAGUUUUAAAGUCUUUGUAUGUUUUAGAGAAGAGAACGUUGGCAACAACUUUGUCACACAUCUAUACGCAAUCCAUGCUGGAAUAUCUUACUUCCAUGUUCAACGAAGGGGGAAAGAUGAAGAGAAUCUAAUGGUCACGAUUCCAAAGAUGAUUGAGGAAUCAGACCUUGCAAUCAUCGUUUUCUCUGAGGACAUCUAUUCGGAGUUGUGUUUGGAAGAGGUGGCGAAGAUCAUGGAGUGCAAGAAGCAAAGAGACCUCAAGUUCUUUCUGUUGUUUUACAAAGUGAAAUUAGAUACAGUAUGUGGAUUGAAAGAGAGUUACCGAACUGGUAUUGAAUAUUUUCAAAAGAGGCUUUGUAAGGAUGUGAGGAGAUUGAUGAGAUGGAAGGACACUCUCCAGGAGGCGGGUAGCUUGUCCAGGCGGUACUUGGAUGAUGAUAAGUAAGUAGUAAUUUUGCCACUAACUCUCUCUCUCUCUCUCUCUCCAAUAGACUUUCAUCCAACGCUCACACAGCACGGAGAACACUUAUGCUGCACAAGAAAUUGAGAACCUCCUCUCCAAGCCUCCGUCGAUUCACCACGCCACCCCAACCGCGUCACCUCAACCCCCUCUAUCUCUCUACGUCCAUCGGCUUAAGGGAAUGAAUCUAGGCUCGUGACCCCAAAUCUGGGGUUGCUACCCUCGGGCAAUGGUCACCUGGGGCUGGCUACGGCUGAGACGUUCCGCUUGUCUUUCGUGACAGAGGAACAAAAAUGGAGAGACAGGUUGUAACAAUAGCUAGGACAGGCGAUGGUGACGGGAACGCAAAACAGAGAAAGAGAGGCGCAACGACAGCUAGGACAGGCGAUGGUGAUAGGAACGCCGCGGUGGCAAGGACAUGAUGGUGGGGUGAACGCGAUGACGGCGAUGGCAGAGCAGUGGGAAAGUCAGCGGGGAGAAGCGAAAGGGGCAGGGGAAACUUCAAGUUGCUUUUAAGCGUCAAGUAACAAAUUAAAUUCAGACCAAAAAAAAAAAAAGUAACAAAUUAAAUUCAGAUUUUGUAUAUAUACCCAUAACUCACAAUUCUGAAUCUACGAAUUGAGAUAUUUGUUAAAAGAAAAAUUGCGCAAAUUUCAAAUGAUCAAGUGUAGUCAAAAUCAAAGACACUACAAAAUUCAUAAUCAUCUGGCCUAUAUUAACCUAUAUUUGUAUACUAUAUUUUCUAUAUAUAGUUGUAAUCAAAGCUAAAAGAAUAUUUACUAUACUUGCCACAUAAUUGUUCAAAAUGUGCUCAAUUAUUGUCACUUGGUAAGGCACAUGGCAUAAUUGUUCCACUUGGCUCAUAAUCUUAGAGUACAUUUUGCAAUAUGUGUGUUUGAAAUAAAAAUUUUAAGUAACAUAUACUUAGGUUUUUUUUUUUUUUGAACUUAUGGUAAUUUUUAAAGUGUGAGAAAUUUGACUCAAUAAUAUCCAUAAUGCAGGUUGUUGUGAAUAUAAAUCAUGAUACCCAACUAUAUAUAAGUACGUAAACUGUACAAAUAAAUCAUAUAUAAUCUAGUCCUAAAUGAAAAUAAUGUAAUUUAACUUCAUCAGGUAUGAGCUUAAUUGAACUAUUACAAAGAAAUUAGUUGAAGAACAAUUAAAUUUAUAAAAGAAGACGAAAAUCAAGCACAAAUAAAAAAAAAUUACCAAGUUAUUUGAAACUAAAAUUAUAUCUUAUUUCUUUGCAUAAUCAAAUUCAGUUAACAAUUAAAAUCGCUUUAGUCGGCGAUGAUAAGAAAAUUAAUUAAAGAAAUAUUUAAAAGAUAAAACUUAUAAAAUAUUAAAAUAGUAAUAUGAAAAUAAAAAAGAAAUCCUCCUAAUAAAAGCAUAAUAAAAGUGCACCUAUUAUAUUAACUGAUAAAAUUAUACUUAAUUCCCUUGAUUAAAUAAUACAGUAUGAAUAAAAAUUAAGCUCAACUUAUCCGAUUGUUUUAUUUCAUAUUCUCGGUCCUUUUAAAAUAAACUUGAAUGGAAAAUUAACUUGUCGUCGUUUCUUAAAAAAAAAAAUUGAAGAGGAAAGAGCAUCACAUUCAAUCUUCCAGUGUCGUCGUCGUCGUCUCCUUCUUCUUCCGCAGCAAGAUGGUCGUUCGACGUCUUCCUCCGCUUCAGAGGUGAGGACGUCCGCCCCGGCUUCCUCCCUUCACGGCGGCAUCGACGCCCACAUCGACGGCGAGGGCUUGAGGCCUGGCGUGCGAGAUCCUGCCGAGCGCUCACGAAAGCCAUCGAGGAGUCGCGGAUCGCCGUGCUCGUCUUCUCUGAGGACCACGCUUCGUCUGGGUGGUGCUUGGACGAGCUCAGUGGAGGAAGGUGAUGGAGUGGAAGGGGCUCAUGGGGACAGCUGGUGUUGCCCCUGUUCUACAGCGUGGAGGCGAGGGAGAUUCGAUGACAGAGAGAGAGGGUUAUGGCAAGGCAUUGGCUAGUCACCGAUUUGUUCGGUUGGCAUUAUUAUGACCAUGGGUAAGCGCAGUAUUCCUGUUCGACCUUGUAAAAGAAUAUGGAAUUCUCUAAUCUGUUGAUACUUGAUGGGAUCGAUUAGUGCGAUGGAGUCAUUUUUUGGAAUGUUACGGAGUGGUUGUUUUCUUCGUGUUAGUUUUUAUUUAGUUCAAUGGAUCGUAUAUUGCCAUUAUUGCAUUGGCGGAGAUGAGACCAAGUUCAUCGAGAGCAUUGUCAAAGAGAUCUCAAUUGUAGUUAGACGAGUACCCUCGAGUGUUGCCAAGCAUCUGUCGGUGUAGGUUGCUGGGUAGAGAAAGUAAGAUCAUAGUUAAGUACGGGCUUGGAUGAGGUUCGGUUGAUAGGAAUAUGGGGAGCGGGAGGUAUAGGGAAGAGCACUUUCGCUAAAGCUGUCUAUAAGAGUAUCACUAGUCAAACAGUAUAACUGGUCAGUUUGGUGGGUGUAGCUUUCUUCCAAAUGUUAUAGAAACUUCCAGUAAACCGGAUGGCCUGGUUCAUUUGCAAACGGCACUCUUCUCCGAGAUACUGUGGAAAUAAAAUUUAAUGGCCUUCAGUGUGGAUGGGGGCGUUAAACUAAUACAAGAUAGACUUUGCUACAGGAAGAUUCUGCUUGUGCUUGAUGAUGUGGAUCAUGGGGACCACUUGAAUGCGUUAGCUAGAGAAUGUGAAUGGUUUGGAAAAGGGAGCACGAUCAUUAUUAUGACAAGAGAUAAACAUGUACUGACUUCUCACGGGAUAGAUCAGGUAAAUGAAGUUAAAUCAUUAGAUCAAGGUGAAGCUUUUGAACUUCUGAGUUCAUAUGCUUUUCCAAGAAACCAGAAAGGAGACAUACAUUGUGAUCUCAUACAUAAUAUUUUGGGCUAGGCUAAUGGUCAUCCCUUAACAGUUCUGGUCUUGGGUCUGUUUUUAUGUGGUAGAAGCAGAGGGGAAUGGGAGAGUACAUUGGGUAAACUUGCCGAAAGUCCUAAUAAAGAUAUAAACAGCAUUCUGAAGAUAAGUUUUGACACAUUGGGGGACAAUGAGAAUGACCUUUUUUUUUACAUUGCUUGCUUAUUUAAAGAGAGGGAUAGUGAUUAUGUAACCAAAGUUCUUGAUAGUUGUGGUUUAAAGACAUUAAUUGGGACUCAAACUUUAAUAAAGAGAUCUUUAAUAAACGUUGAGAAUCAGAGAACAGUACAAAUGCAUGACUUGAUUUGGCCGAUGGAUUAGGAUAUCAUAAAACAAGAGUAUCCAAAUGACUUGGGAAAUGGAGUAGAUUAUGGUGCUACGAUGAUGUUUUUGAAGUAUUUUCGGAGGAAAUUAUGAGAGCUCCUCAUGACAUCAUUGAUAAUAUUUUCUUUAAUUUACACACUAUUCCCUAAUUUGGGUUGGGUAAUAAUAAUUAUUUUGUUUUCCUUGACAGGGAACCAAUGUUGUUAGAGGCAUAGUGUUGGGACUUACCAACACAAGAAGAGCUAGACAUCAAUCCGAGUGCUUUCACAUAUAUGAGGAGACCGAGAUUGCUCCUAGUCUUGAAUGCACAGCUCAGCAGAGUUCCCAUAUGUCUUCUAAAAGAUUUAAGGUGGCUUGAAUGGCCUUAGUAUCCUUUAUCAACUCUGAAGUUUAGUGCUGGUCUAAAGAAACUUGUUUGGUUUGAUGUGCAUAAUAGCCAGAUUAAAGAAUUAGGAGAUAACUUAAAGGUACAUCAUACAUUCUUUUAUUAACGGUUUCCAUUUUCGUGCCUUUCACAAAGUGAAAUUUAUCAAAACCUUGUUUGGCUGUUCUUUUUAAUUUGCAGCAUUUUAGGAAUUUGAAGUUCCUAAUUCACAGUUGCUCUAAGUCUCUUAUUAGUGUUCUGGACAUAUCAGAGAUGCCAAAUUUGGAGACAGUGAACUUAAGUAGGUGCUCGAACCUCAAGGAGCUUCCAAGCAAACUGAAGCUAAAAUAUCUUUGAAACUUGAUGUAACUGGCUGCUCUAAGCUUGAUAAAUUUCCUGAUAUUAAGGAUAUAAGGAGCUUAACAAAACUUCAUAUAUCUCAGAUCUCCAUUAAAUAACUUCCUGCAUCAAUUGGAAACCUUAUCUCUGUUGAGGAUUGUGGAAAAGUCUUAUCAAUCUUCCUAAUAGCAUUUACGAGACGCAAAAUCUAGAGCACCUUUCUUGAAGGGUUGUUCACUAUUUAGCUUGUUUCCAGGGAGCAGUGAGAGCUCCAAUCUCCCUAAUGAUAGACUUGGAUUCCAAAUUUGGUCUCCCCGAAGCUUAGUGGGUGCAAGCUGUCAGAGGAAGAAUUUCUUUAGUCUUACCUGCUUCUCUGUUGUAAAUAUUUUGCAUCUCUAUGGAUAUAAUUUUGUUAGUCUUUCUACAUGCAUUAGCAAGUUUGAGGAGUUGAUGGUCCAUUAAAAAUUAGAUGACUAGAAGCAAUUGCAGGAGAUCUUGGAGCUUCCACCAAACAUUUACACCCUUGAAGCAAAUGGCUGCAAUGCAUUGUCCAGAUUUCCAAAUUUGCCUAUUCAGUGCAUUCAGUCCUCCAUGUCAGUGUACGUUCGCUUAGAUUCUUGUCAUGGAUCGGUUCAUGAAGGUAUCGACCUAGUUAACAUUAUACAUGUGCAUGAGCUGAUGUGAUUUCUGAUUUAAUAGAUUUGCUAUAGCCGGAUGUUGGUUAGAUAGGUCACUACAUGGAUACUAUAUUUCCUGGGAGAGGGAUAUGAUGUUGGUUUAUCCAAAGUCAAGAGCGUUAUGUCUCUUUCUAGGUACCCCGAGAUUUGUGCAGGAGGGUUUUGUGUGUUGCUUUUGGAUUGGAGGAAGAAAAUGAGGCUUAUUUUUCAUUUGAGGUUUGGGUAUUGGUGAAUCAUGUUCAUAGUAAUUAUGAUACAAGAACAUUCUCUUUUUACAGUUUGAUCACCUGUGGUUUAAAUAUAUUACAUGCCGUUCAUUUGAUGAGCUGGAUGAGAUGUUGGAGACUGAGUGGAGUCUCUAGGUUUCAUUUGAAGUAUCAAAAGUAACACUAAGAAGGUGUAGGUUUGGCCUUAUAUGGAAGCAAGUAAAGCAUGGCCUAAGGAAGCACCUCAAGCUUUCUAAAUAAUCUCAAUUGUCAUAUAUAUAUUCUUGAUUCAUGGCAAAAAGGUCCACUUCUGGAUUGCAGUUAAUUUGAGUAUUUGAUAUAAUGCUUAUUGUUAACUUGUCGCAUUUUCUAAGUGAUUUCUUGCACUCCGCUUUCAGCAACUUUAGCAUUGUGCUGUUUCUUGGUUAGAAUGACCCUCUUGUCCAUUGUCUGAUUUCUUGUGGAUAUGAGACAACCACACUGACUGUCACCUCAAGCAACUUCAUCUAGGCUUGUGACAAAAGAUGGAUGGAUGGGACAUUUGUCGAUUUUGGCUAGUGCUAACGCAAAGUUGUGGAAAUUGAAUUGCAAGGGACUACUUUUCAGAUGCUCAAAAUUAUACAUGUGGACCAUUUAUAUUUUUUAGCAGCCAUAAAUUCAAAAUUUUUGUAGCUAAGUUUUGCUUUAGGUAGGUAGGAGUAGCCCAAAUGCUGAGAUGUAAAUAGAGUUGAAAGAAGUUAGGUAGAUCUUGUCUUUUGGCCUCAAUGUAAGUAUUGUUUGAGUCACUAUGAUUUUGUGAUUUAAAAUAUGCUAGAUUUGUAUUGCUUCUUGUGCUUUACUCCCGUGGAUCCUAUAAUUUUUUCCAGAUUGCUUAUUGCGUCGCAAUACAAAGUAUCAGUGUCAAGACACAAGAAUACUGAAGUUCUUGUUGAAGUUCUAGAUUUUUGCUCUCUCUUUUAUGUUUAUGCAUCCAUUAAUCUAUUUAAUUUUCCCCCUUUUAUACUAGUUGGAAUGCUUAUUAUGCAAGAUUGGGGCCAAUGUCAUAAAAAAAAGUACCAACUUUAUUGUCCCAAAUCUGGCCCAAACUAUAUUUUGUCUAAAAAAAAGCCCAAACUUUUAGUAGCAUCCCAAAUUUGACCUCCGUUAACCAUCCUUCCAUAGUCACCGUUAGUGGCUUUCUCUUCUUCCUUCUGCUCAUCAAGUCUCUCUCUCUCUCUCUCUCUUUGACAUCCUCCGGCUAGAGUCACCGCCAAGCUUGACAUCUGCGCGUCCGCCGCCGAUGCCCGUCCAAGCCAACAUUGCACGUCCAAACCAAACCACCCCUCCGUCGUCCUUGUUGUUAGCUUCAUCUUCGCCGGAAGGCGUCCUCCAUCUCCAGUGUCUUUGUGGUCAUCUUUACCCGUUUUUUGCCUGAGCAAAUGGCCAAAAAUCUGGAAAAGAUAGAAAUCUCUAGAAAAAAAAAUCUUGGGAAAAAUCUUUGAGACAAGGAAGGGGCAAUGGGUUUCUUGGCUUGUCUUUUUAGCCAAAAGAUUUGACGUUUAGAGGAGUUUACAGAGCAACGUGGGUCAGAAAUCAGUGGGUCUCUUGGCUUGUUCUUUUGGCCAAACAUAGAAGACAUGGCCACAAACAACUCGAGCUAUGCAGAAUCCGUAAAAGCUAGGUUAUGGGAAAUCUCUAGAAUCUUGGGAGAAAAAAAAAAAGAAACCCAAAAACUUGAAUGCUAAAGGUUUCAUUUUAUUCAUUGCAGCUCAUGGCUGGAAUAGGAAAAAAAGAAGAAGAGAAACUCAUACUUGAAUGCUAAAGUUGAUUCAGAAAUUCACAAUCUGCUCGCGAUUCCCUCUAUUCAUCUUCGUCUUCAUCUUCUUGAUGGCCAACUCCAUAUCUGAAACAAAGCCCCAUCCAUGGCCGCGACAAGCGAGGUCAAAGUAGGAGGAAGAGAGAGAGAAAAAGACUUGGGUGAGUCGAUAACCCACCGUCAUCCUCGUCGUCCUCCUCUUCCUCGCCGUCAUCCUCGUCGUCCACGCCGCCGCGCCCAUCUCCUUCGCCGUUCACUUCCUCCUAGCUUUGCAUGCCGUCUUCCUCCUCUUCUUCCUCAUCAACAGUGGCAGGGACGCAAUUCUCCUUCACAACCCUAACUUCCUCGUCCUCUUCGAACUUGAUCUCCUCUUCCUCGUCGGAAUUCAUUGUCGCAAUCACGACCUCAUGCACGCCGGGACAAUAAUCCGGUGAUUUCUCGGCUCGAUUCUGAACAAAAAUGAACGGAAAUCUUCGAGAAAAUGGAACAUAAUGGGAAAAAAUUUUCUGGGUGACGUGAAAAUGCCUCAAAUGACUAACGGCGAUGACUAACGGCGACUGUAGAAGGAGAGUUAACGGCCAGAUUUGGGAUAUGAGUUAAAGUUUAUGCUUUUUUUUUAAACAAAAAAAAGUUUGGACCAAAUUUGGAAAAACACCUAAAGUUGUUGUUUUUCUUUUUAUGGAAUUAGGCCUACAAGAUUGUAUAAGAAAUACAAUUGAUGUGAAGGUUAGCUUUUCCAAGUUUCAGAUGUAGCUCUCUGUCUGCAUUUAACCAAAUUAAGCUGGCAAGUAUUAAUUUUACUCUUUUGCAGAGCUUUUGGCUGUUCUGUCUCUGUGAAAGUUUGAACAAGCAAAUAGUUCCAUAUGUUUUAUACUACAAGUAUCAAUUGUUGGAAAUCUCUCUGCUUUUUGACAAAUUCAUGGUGUGUUUACCUUCGAAUGCUCAGAGAUAUAUACCUUCCUAUUUUUCAGAAUGGUAUUUCGCUGUGCAUCCAAAUGAUCGCCCUUCUAUUUGCCAUUUUAUUGCCUUGUUUCUAUUUCUAUGACAAAGGGUGGCAUUAGUUAUGUUAGAGGAUAUCCUAUGAAGGUAGGAGGCAUCUAGAACAGAGUUGAUGUUUCAGUUGCAUUUGCAAGUUAGAUUCCUAGGUAGAAUCCC